This 53463-nucleotide long non-coding RNA is filed under the name Citrus maxima (pomelo). RNAcentral's name for it is "long non-coding RNA (CMAX_LNC003925)". The record is from RNAcentral. Lineage: Eukaryota; Viridiplantae; Streptophyta; Magnoliopsida; Sapindales; Rutaceae.
AUAAGAAAGAAGAGUUAGAAGAUAUUGGUAUGCGGUACUUGAAGGAAUUACUAUCAAGAUUUUUCUUCCAAGAUUUGAGUUUUGGGAUGUUAGGAAUGGAGACGUUCUCUUUCAAAAUGCACGACCUUAUGCAUGAUCUUGCUCAGCAAGUGGCCAAAGAUGAAUUCCUAGUAGUGAACUCUGAUUGUCAAUUUAUUCCCAAAAGAGUCCGCCAUUUGUCAUUUGGUGCUGCUAAUGCAUCAAGAAAUGACUUUUCAAGCCUUUUAUCUGAUCUAGGUCGUGUGAGAACCAUUUUCUUUUCAACUGAUGAUGAUGAGAAGACAAGCCAAUCAUUUGUUGAAUCAUGCAUCUCAAAGUCGCAGUUCCUAAGAGUGCUAGAUUUAAGUGGCUCUGCUAUUGAGGUUUGUCCAAGAGAGAUGGGUAAUUUGAAGCACACGAGAUAUCUUGAUCUGUCGAAAAAUUAUAAAAUCAAGAAACUUCCAAAAUCCAUUUGCGAGCUACAGAGUUUACAAACACUGAAUCUUGCUGGAUGUUUGGAGCUAGAAGAGUUGCCUAAAGACAUAAGGUACCUUGUCAAUCUCAGAUUGUUAGCGCUAACCACAAAACAGAAGUCUUUGCAAGAGAGUGGAAUAAGGAGCUUGGGUUCUCUUCGUUGUUUGUCAAUUUCUAGUUGCUGGAAUUUAGAACAUUUGUUCGAGGAGAUAGAUCAAUUAAGUGUCCUUCGAACAUUAUCAAUUGAAAGUUGUCCUCGUCUAAUCUCAUUGCCACCUGCUAUCAAAUAUCUCAGCUCAUUAGAGAAUCUGUAUUUGGCUAGCUGUGAAAGCCUUGAUCUUAAUUUGAACAUGGAAAUGGAAGGUGAAGGAAGUCAUCAUGAUCGCAAAAACACAAGGCCUCACCUUCGGAGGGUUUUCAUCAAGGAAAUAACACAGUUAUUAGAACUGCCACAAUGGCUUCUUCAAGGUUCUACUGAUACUUUACAGAACUUGUUAAUUCUUGGUUGUCCCAACUUCAUGGCACUACCAGAGUCACUGAGAAAUUUCGAAGCACUUGAGGGUCUUGUCAUCGGGAAUUGUCCAAAAUUGUCAUCGCUGCCAGAGGAUAUGCAUCACCUCACUACUCUGAAAUCAUUGGCCAUUGCAGGAUGUCCUGCACUGAGUGAACGAUGCAAACCGCCAACAGGUGAAGAUUGGCCCAAGAUUGCACAUAUCCCUGAGAUUUUACUUGAUGGCGAGAUGAUUAAAUCAAGUGAUUAUUAGGUAUGGAUUUUUUUUUUCAAUAAGCAUACCACUCUGUUAUAUUUCCUCUUUUCAUGCAGCUUUCUAAUUUUUAAUUUCUCAUACAGCUAUACCGUUUAUAGUUUAAUGUUUUGUUAUGUUUACCAAACGAAAACUUGACUUUGAACGUUAGUUAGUUCAAUCAAAUUUGUACUAAUUUAUUUUCUUCUAAUAAAUAACUAGUUUGUCAGUACAAAACACAAAAAUAAUAUUUUGGAAACCGCACUGUUCUGGGGGUCAGAUCUGUUUCUAAAUUCAAACAGUUCAGGAUUUUUCAAAAUGGAACUUAUAAUGAGAUUUUUUUUUUUAAUUAUCUAGUUAUCUUCAUAGGGAAUUUCAAUCUUUGUUAAUACUUUAACUUGCGCCGAAACAUCUAACAAUUCUUCCUCUUAUCCUUUUUUUUUCCCAAAUAUUGCAGCUUUCUUGGGAGAGGUUCAACCAAACUGCAGGGACAGUGAAAAUAUUACUCUAACGUUGUUCAGAACAGAGGUUCAACGGUUUUAAUGUUGUGUUUUAAAGUUACAAGUAUUAUAUAUUCGUUACGUGUGGUUAUGUAAUUUGCUGAUAUAUAAGUACAUUGAGUGAGGUAUAUGUGUGUGCCUGUGUGGUCAUUACUGAAUUUCUCAGUAAUAUAAUUUGCAUUGACUGCAGAUUUGUGAAGAACAUUGAUACCAAACAUGUGGUGUCUGUAUUUUGUGCUUUGUGAUUGACGACUUACAUUUGCCCAGGAAGAAAUGAAAACAAAUCGGCUUCUUGAAAUUAACCAUUUAUUCUUUCGAAUGGUAACCUUUUUGUGACAUGAUUCGCAUAUUAAUCAAAAGCAGUUGGCAAACUAAUUAGAUAUUGCAUCGUGAUUCGUGGCCUUGAAGUGAAAUGAGUGAGCAUGUUUGUGGAGGUUUUUGUUUUUUUCCUCCAUAUAAAAUGACUAAUUCGAAAGAAUAUGUAUUGUAAUAGAACCUAGAACUUCUAUGUAUUUUAGGAUGAAAAUUCUGUACAAUAGAAAAUAUUAAAACGAAAAUCAAAGAAGCUUGCAACUUGGAACUGCAAUCUAGCUCGACCUACUAUAUAUAUAUACGUUAUUAAUUAAUUGAUCAGGUAAGAUAGGGAGAGACUCGCGGACUCUUUACAAGGAGCAAAAAUGGUAUGAAACUCUGUUUUGAUUAAAAUUCAAUGACUUUCUUCGUAUUAAUCAAAUUAAUUGAUUAAUUAUUUUGGUAAAAAGAAUUUGCGAAAAGUCAUUUUAUCAAAUGAUUUGGUGAAAUUUCAAGUACUUUCAUCUUGGUUUUUGCAGUUAAUAGGAAAUAGUUUGGUGUUGGGAUGUGGUAUAUGUAUCAAGUUCUUAUUGCUGGUGAACAUUACUGGUUUAGUGUGCGAUCGUUUACUAUCACUGCAUGCAUUAUCAGUUUAUUUUAUUGAACUGUCCCAAAUCAGUAACGAAUCCUCAAUUCCCUCUGUUUUCUUUGGAUCCUAGUAGUGUUUGGCAUGCAUCAACUAGUGUUCAUGCAUGGGUCGGUUCAUCAUAGACAACUUCAGCACACAUACAACAGCCCUCAUUUCUUCUUAUAUUGUCGGUUCGAUAUCAUUUUGAAAAAUCAUAUCAAAACUGCUUUUGGAGUUCUAAUCCAGUGCAGUUACACCUAUAUUUUACUUUUGAUCUGCAACCUUGACUCACUGUCAUUUUGCUGUUAGUAUUUCGAUUAGCAACUUGUACAGUGGUAUUUGAACUGCAUGGUAUGUCAACUUUCACUCUAUGUGUCUUAGAAACUCUGUAUAUCACUAAUUUCCUAGCACAGGUCUUGUUGACAGUCAAAGAUUUGAGGCAUAUUUCUAUAUUGAAGGCUUUUCUGUCGUCAAUUUGAUGAUGAGCGCAUGUAUUAUCCCCAAUAUUUUGAGCAGGAACUUGUAACUAGUAAUAACCAGUACCUAAGAUGUUGCAUUUGAUUGACUUCUCUUUCUCGUUUAGUUUCAGCCGUUGGAGCUGUUUCAGACAUGGUAACUGAUACGUAAUUUCUCUCUUUCCACCCCACAAUGUAUCAUUAGUCAUCAUUCGUUCUGGUUGGCGUGGAUACGCAUACUAAUUUGGAUUAUUGUCUGUGCCUUCGUCUUUUGUCAAUAAUCUUUUGCAUUUCAGGAUUAGUACAGCUUGUAUACUGGUAAUACUCUCUCAACUAUACAUGUAAGACUUUGUUAUGUUUUCUUGACCCGUAAUCUAAUGCUAUAAGAUGACGGCAUAAUUGAGCUAUUUUGCAUCUCCAUGCAGGCCUGAUUUGGUUUUUGUGUCACUACCUGCAUUAGAUAUUGGUAGUCAAUGGCUGCAGAUGUACAGGUGCCGUUUCGUUUCCCUGACAUAAUCUCAUGUAACAUGAAAUUGCUUGUGAAACUGGAAGAUAUUUGAUUCUUUUUUUUUUUUUUCAUUUUUGCUAAAGAAAAGUGUUACUUGCGUUGGGAAAUAUGCCUACCACUCUGGAUCUCCGUUGCAGUACAUUCUUGAGAGGAAAAUCUAGCCAUAAAAUGUAAAAGACAACACAAAUUGGCUUUUCAAAGCCUAUGAUGGGAACCGGAUGUUUAUGGGUUAUAGUUGUGUGGCAUGUGAGGUAAUUGUAGCUUUCCGUGUUAUUAUCCAUAUCAGGAUUUGUAAAUGUUAUCAGUGCUUUUUACCUGAUCCAACUGUUUCAACCCUGCAGCUUCUUUACCUAAUCAUAUUUCUUAUUGCGGAGACGCAGAGUGAAAGUUUGGUGGAUGUAGGUUCUCAUUUUCUUACUAUUAGAUUGUUCUGCAUAUAGAAAGAUUUCCCCUGUUUCUCGCUUUGCAAACAAUCCUUCUUUCAGGUUGUGGUGAGUGCUGUGCGACAGGGCAAUCAAGCAAACGAUCAAUGUCAUAAAGGUAACUUGCACUCCAUAUUAUCGUAAUGUUCGUUUAUUCUGAUACUUCUUCACAAUAAGUAAAUUUCUUGAUGUCUACAAAUUAAGGAGACUUUUGUAUGGGUAAAGUUGACAUUUUACAAUGGCAUUCUGGAUCCUGAAAUCGGUCAGUUUGAGAUUCACAUGCUGUGAUAUGCUCUAAUGUUAAAACUCAAACCUUUUCUGUAUCUUAAAUGGAUUGUCGUGGAUAUGCCUGGGAUGAUCAUUUUCUUCCUCUUCACUUCAUCAUCUUUGUCAGAGUAGUUAUAAUUGAUUGAGGAGUGUGAAAACGCAUUGUGAUGAAUGAAUGCACAAGCUAUGUGAUUAAGACUGCAUUUAUUAGGUUGGUGACGGCAAAUAUCAGGCAGGAUAUUCACAAUAGUGCUACUGAAGCUUUAUAUGGAAUAAGGAGACCAAACCUCUAUAUGAUAAGAGUUGUAUGAAUACCAAAUGAAUUGUAAGAGGAUAUGGUUAAUUUAGAUUGUAAUUUAAGAAAGCAUGAGUUCUAAGAGCACAGAAAUGGGAUCAGUCUUGCUCAAGUGUGAACUCCAUCAGUUAGGAAGCUGUCCAUCAAAUGGAAAUAUUUACGUGAUUCAGAGAAAUUUUGGACUUUUGAUGAAAACAAAAAUCCUGUAUGCAUUUGCUUGCCCCGAAGGAGCUGAAAGUUCUCAAAUUGUUUGUAGACGUCAUAGUUCUCCUGAUGUCAUUUGGCUUGGUAAUCUUUUUUGCUCGAAAAUUUGCCCAUUGUGUGGUCUUGACGGUGGGUGAAAUUGAUUUGUGGUUUCAGAUGAAGACAGCAGCAGAUGUGUGUGUGCUAUAUGACAUCGAGAAAAAGCAAAGGCCUUAAAGAGUUCAUCAACAUUUUCCAUUUCAGAAGAAUCUGUUUGUGGUUCUCCUGCUCAAGUGCCUACUUUUCGGGGUGCAGCAUAUAUGUUGAGACCGGCAUAUGAAAUCACUAAACUUUUACAGUUGAUCCGAGGCUUCUCUAGCAAAGGAUUUGGAAUUAAUUUGGGGAAGGGGUGUUUUUUUGGGUAUAUGAGUGUGUGCAUUCCUUCAAUCACGUAGCUUCGUGCCAUUAACUUAUUGGCAAUUCCACAAUGGUGAUAAUGAUAAUUUUAUGAUUGGGGCACAGUUUUAGGAACUCUUUACUGGUUUUUCUUUCGCAUCUGUGUCUAUGAUUAAGGUUGUUUAAGGUGGUAUGGAUUUCAGUACAUUGAACAAAAAAUUAUUUAUUUUUAUUCAAAUAAAAAUACCUAAAAAUCAAACCUAAGUUAAAAAAAAUAAAGUUUAUGAUUGGGGCACAGUUUUAGGAACUCUUUACUGGUUUUUCUUUCGCAUCUGUGUCUAUGAUUAAGGUUGUUUAAGGUGGUAUGGAUUUCAGUACAUUGAACAAAAAAUUAUUUAUUUUUAUUCAAAUAAAAAUACCUAAAAAUCAAACCUAAGUUAAAAAAAAUAAAGUUUAAAAAUUUCUGAAAUUAAUCAAAUUUUAAAACUUGAGACUUUUAACAGAUUAAUCCAACCUUUGAAUAAAUAAACUAAAUGGGGGUCAGUUUUCUCGUGUCAGCUUGUUCAAUCGACACUAUCGUUUCAACCUCCCACGAAUAAACAAAUCACUAAUGAUGUGUCCAUUUCUUCUACUUUAUAAUAAUUUUUAAUAAAAAGAUUAUUAAAAAGAUUAUUAAAGUCAGUCUGGUUCCAAGAAGAAAGUGAACAUGAGAUGAUGAGAUGCCGUAUCAAAUGGGGCCACGUAGACAGAGGUGCUUCGAGGUGACAUGUCAGCAGAUAGCUCCACCGACGAUCUUCAAAAUAAUUUGAACGGUUGGGAUUUUAUUUUCAACUUACCUGUGUCCAGGCUGUUGUUGAUUGUCGCUAUCCUGAAUUGUCCACUUCGAAUUUUUUUUUUAAUUUCCCCAACACUCUCCUGACCAAAGGAGUUAAUAAGAUUUCGAUAUUUUUUUCUUUAAAUGAUUUGAAAUAUCAAUAUUUUAUAAUUUUUUUUUUGGGUCCUAUUUUGUCCAUAAAAUGUUUAGCGAUCUUUUCGUUAAUUAGUUUCGUGGAUGUCUUAUCAAAUUAUUACAACGGUGAUAACGGUUACACAUAAAAAUUAAGGAAAAAAAAAUGAUUAUAAUUAACGGUGUACGAUCCAUGUUGUCGAUACGCCGUUGGACAACUUUCAUUAGACUGAAGAUUUUCCUUUCCGCCCCGGCGCGGAAAUUAUCUGCGUUAAAAAAAUUUGUCACUCACAUUAAAAAAAUUAUCUGCGUCCCGCUAACACACUCUUUCACCUUCAAUGCACUGAGGAAAGAAUAUAUGCUAUGGAAUAUAUGGUAUGGUGUUUGGCUGGUCUGCUUUUUUCUUUUCAAUUAAUGUAAUAUUCUUAUGCUAUGGAAUUGAUUAUCAUAACUAAAGGAAAGAAUAUAUACUAUGGAAUAUAUGCUAUGGUCUUUGGCUGGUCUACUUUUUUCUUUUCAAUUAAUGUAUUAUUCAUAUGCUAUGGAAUAUGAAUAUUACAUUAAGGGAAAGAAUAUUUUUACACAGCACACUAUAAUACUCUAAUUACCAAUUUUUUAUCUUGUAAUACAAGUUCAUAGCGAUUAAUUUAUCCGUCUUCAGCCAAAAAAAAAGUCCCAUUUCAGCACAUAUACAAGCUAGAGCCCUCAUUUUUCUUUGCUUCAGCCAUUUUACAGCAGAAUCAUCACAGACACUUUGAGCUCUGCCGAAUCAUCAUAGACAAAUUGUGAUUGGUGGGAGCAUUACAAGAAAGGUACGACUACUUCGAACCGAUAGAUUUGUUUAUAUCAUUUAGCUAUCGUUUUAACUUUUAACAAUAAACAAGAGACAAUCAUGUACAUCAUUGGUUACAUAAAUAUUAAAAUGAGAUAAAUUUAUUCCUCUACUUGCCAGAUCCAUACAUAUUAAAAUGAGAUAAAUUUUAAGGUUUAAAAAUUUGCAAUUCAUCAAAAAUCUAGUGCGAUAUUAAGCAGUGAAAUCACUUAGGGUUAGUACAAGAGGUUUAUGAUUCCCUGACUCAUUUAUAUGGGUGGAGAGGGAAUUAGGCAAUGAAGAAUUGAUACAAAUUAAUAAUUAUAUUAUAAAAAGAAAUAAAUUUCAAGAGGGAUCAUAAGUUCAUAGAAGAUUGUAUGCCAGUUAUUUGUAAUGGAAUGGAGUUUUUUUGGAGAGGCUAUUUGGCUUGGAAUAUAUAUUGGAAUGAGAUUAUUUGAACCCACCGCAAUACUCUCUAAAAUCCACUUUUCAAUAAAAAAUUUUAGUUCAAAAUUUUCCUUAAUUAAAUUACUAUUUUAGCCAAAUAUUAUGUUGAUUUAUCUCCCUAAAGUUUUCAUUUUUUUUCACCCUUUUUUCUCUUUUCCUCUCUAUUUCCCCAAUUUUUUUUUUCCAGUCCUAUGUGGUUCUUAUAUUUUAAGGCUUCUAUUGGAGUAAGAUCUAUAUUCAAAUUGCUUAUCCAAAAAAAAAAAUUCUUUUAAAAUUUGCCUUUCCUUUACCCUCGAGUCACUAUUAGAUGUAUAUGCUCCUCAAGAAACUUUAGUAAUUGGAUUUCUAUUAAAUAUUUUAAUUUCAAAAAAUGAGAAGGUCACUAUACAAAUAUCAAAAUAUCACCAACUUAAUUAUACUAGUUAUAAUUGAGGGAAAUAAAAGACUUACUAUUUCUGUUUGAAGUUAUUAUGAUGAACAAAGAAAAAGGGGGGGGGGGGGGGAACAAGUCGCUGCAAUUGCAUCAAUUGAGGACAUGUUAAGAAACGUAUCAUUGAGAUAAGAUUUAAUUGAUAAAAUAAGAUUUACUAGAAAGUAGUGAGAGAAACAACUAACAAAAAUUCAUGAUACUUAUUGAGGGUAUAUUGAGAAUAUUUGUGGCUUUUUUGAGUAAAAAAUAAAGUUUUAAGUUGUGAUAAUAUGUUUAUUACGGAAAUGAGUUUAUUUAAUAUUACAGUGGAUUUAAGUAGCCUUACCCUUCAUAUUAUAAUAAAUUUUUACAUUACUCUAUAAUAGCCCUACUAUAGAGGACAAUUUAAUGAAAAUAUUGUUACUCUUAUACCUAUUAAAAGAAACAAUAUUAUCUUGUACGUACAAGAACGUUCUACUGCCCAAGUAAAAGUUUUAGUAAAACGUAUAAGAACUCUAAGGGUAAAGAGAAUUUCAUCAAGGUACUAUAGUAGUAUCUAAUGCUCUUUGCUAGUGUAAACUAUUUGCGCCACAUGUAGUAUUUCAAUCUUCACAAGUGGCAUUGCAUAUAGUGGCUCUUAUUUCAGUUCCUCAAAGGUACUCUAGAGGUACGUUAGCUUAUAAGCUAGUAUUUGGUCAUCAUGUGCUUCUUUUAAUGAAACAUGUGGUUCAUUUUGUCCAUAUACGAGAGCAUUUUGUGUGGAAUAACCUUGUAAAAUGCUCAUUUAUCAAGGACACAUGUCGUGUUGUCAGAACAUAGUAAAAAUAUGAUAUGCUAACCUAUGUGCAUUUAUGAAAAAUCAAAUGAAAACAAAGAACUAAAAAAAAAUGCAAAGGCUAAUUCAUAAUGUUUGAGUUUGAGAUGAUUAAUAUUUAAUUUUAUGGUUGCAAAGAUAAGAAUAAAAGUAGGUCUAGUGAGAAAUACCCUCAUAUUAUAAUACUAUUUAAAAUAAAUUUUGUUAUAAAAGAUUUUAUUUAAUAAGGUAUGGGGACUGUUCAAAAUAUAUUUUACAUACAAACUCAUAUGCAUGACGUAAUAGUAUGUCUCAUGCUAGGACUAGCAAUGGUCAAAUCAACCUAUUUUGAUAAGAUCCAUCAAAAUUAAUAUUUAAAAAAUUUAUCAUCUCAUUAUACAAUACACAGCUUUGCCAUCACAGCUUUGCCAUCUAGUAGAGAAUGAUUAGUUGGCACACCAUAGUUUACACGAAUAUUUCUAAUAUUUGAAUCGUCUGUUAGAAAAUUUUUAUCCUACCAUGAUCUUGUAAGUAAAAAUAUCAAAUAAAUAGUAAAUAGAAAAUAUACAGAGAAUAAAACCAAUCAUACAACACAAUAAUUUACGUGAAAAAUUCUUAUAUUGAAGAAAAACCACAGUCGCCAAAGAUGAUAAAAGAAAAAUCUACUAUUUAAAGAUCAUUACAAUUACUUUAAUAUUUUCCUCACAUAAAAAACCCUAAUAACAAAUAAUCUCUAAUUUCAGAAGCUGUCUACUUGUAUAGAAUUGAUUGUUGUGUUAUUCAAACAAGUGAAUCUAGCCUUUCGUAUAUAUUGUGAUUAUUUCAUAUUGGAAAAAUAUUUAUUUCCUUAAAUAAUAUUUAUUUCUCCUUUAAUAAGUUCUUUGGCAUUACUUAUUCCUUAAACAUGAACCCCCCCCCCCCCCGGAACAAGAAAAUUACUAAAUAAAAAAAUUCUAGGAAAUAUCCUAAUUUAGGAUUUACAAAUCUUCAUUGAAAAAGGAGAUAUGUUUCUUAAAAAUCUCCACUUUGGUGAGUUUUUCAAUUAAGCGACAAAAUAUAAUCCACCAUACAUCUAUGCAACCAUGUCGUCUCCCCCUUAUUUAGUCUACCAAAACCACACUAACAUAAGACUAAUGAGAAUCACUCCACCAUGAGCAAAAUCUUGUCCUCUAUCCAGCAGUCAUAAUUUUCUACAUCGAGAAUCAUCAUACUCCACAUUAUCCAGAGUACACAUGUUUUGUAACACUCCAAAAAUUACUCAUGAAAACACAAGGAUAAAAUUGGAAUGAAACUUUACAUCAUUUAUUCUUAUUAAUAAAUCUCAAGAUAGACAAUUAUUCAUACUCCAACUGAAUCCUUACAUAAAACAUCUGAAAUAAAGUCUAUAAAGAAAAGUCUCUAGUCCAAAAUAAAAAGUCUAGCCAAAUUCACUCUUGAAAGCAACUCCAAAGAUCCACUAAGAAAAAUUCUCCAUCUAAGCACCCAAGCCACAUUUCUAAUCAAUCUACAAAAUAUUGGAGAUGAGGGGUGAGCCGUCAACUCGGUAAGCAAAUCCAUGCACAAUAUUUGAAAACCUUGUCAUUUUACCUUUAAAUAUUUUAUAACAACAUCUUCAUUUAGCAUAAGGGGUGGAUUCAUAUAAAAGCAUUAAAAACAUUAAAACAUUCAUAAAAACGUUAAAACAUAAACAUUGGUAGCUCAUGCCUCGUAGUCAUCAUCAUUCAUCAUUCAUCAUUUAGGGUGUUAUACCCCGCAUUUUUCCUCAUUUAGGGUACUAUACCCCACAUUGUUCAUAAUAUCCUUGUGCACCAGAUCAUCAUCAUACCAACAAGCUGGCCUUAGCAUUUCAUAACAUCACAACAUUAACAUCAUAUACAUUACUACGGACUAUGAGCCAAAACAUUUUUGAAUCCACCUUACAUCUUUUCAUAAAUAGCAUUUAAAGUCUUCUAAAACAUUUAAGAACUUUUCUUUUACACAUUUAAUUCUUUUAAAAAAUUCUUUAAGAAAACAUUUAAUUUAAAAAAACUAAUUUCUUAAGAAAAAAUCAUUUGAAAAUACAUUUAUAUAAAUUCAUUUAGAAGCGUUUUUAUUUUACAAAAUUCAUUUAAAUAUUUUAGAAAUCAGUUUUGUAAAAAUCUCUAUUUAAACAUAAUUCUUAUAACAUAAUUCGUAUUUAUUAUAAAGGACAUCAUGCAUGAAUCUACUUAUCUCGAUCCAUAGCAAUCAAUUCAAUACCUCAAGAAUAACCAACGAGCUCACCCACGUCCUGUAAUCAUCAUAAAAAUAUUCUUAUGAAUAUCAUCUCUAACCUUAAACAUAAUCCCAGUCAUCCUUAAAUCAUAGGCACUUGUACUAGCUUAAUACUUAUACAUAUUCUAAACAUAUCCUAUACUUAUGAGUAUCUUGUACAUGCUGAUUUUUAAUAACCUAUACACAUGUCGAAAAACCAUGAAAAUUUACAGAGGCACUGUGAACAUGCAUAGCAUUGCAUACAAUAUUUCACAAAAAUCAGCACAAGUCAAAAUCGAGUCAGAAUAUUGGCCUUUCACCAAAGUAACAAAAUUGUCCAGCACUGACCAAAACAGACAUUUUCCAAUUAGAAAAUUCAUAAAAUUUUCUUUAGUACUCGAAAUAAUAUGUUUCUUUUUUCGAAUCACAGAAGAAACAUUCAGAAAGCACUAAUUAAAUUUCAUAAUUUUUGGACUCCUGAAACUAUUUUAAAACGUUUUAUUUCCGAGAACAUCUAACCCGUCCAGAAAAUCUUAGAGUUGAAAACAGAAUUUCAAAAAUUCGUAUCUUUUAUUUUACAUGCCCAAAAAUCACGAUUCCAUUUUUUAAAGACAGAGGAAAGAUUGAAAUUUCAUUAUAAAAUCCUAACAUGGCAUGUAAUAUUCAUAAACUAGCCCAACUGUUAUACGUUUCAGCUUCUGCAAUUCUGGAAAACAGUUUCCAGAUUUGCAGCAGCCACAUGUUACGGUUUUUAAUAAUUCAACCAUAAAGAAUAAAACUACGAAAUUAAACAUGCAAGCAUAGGAGACAUAUAUCUGUUGAUACAAAAAUCGCCAUAAUUUUUAAGGAUGUGUAACCUUAUAGAAAAAUUUCCAGAAUUGAGAACCGCUGCUGAAAAUCGGAAUUUUCCAGCACCAGUAACCCAACUUCGAAAACCCAUAACAAUUUGCAUAAUUAGACGAUUUCAACACAAAACCUAUCAAUGGAAAGCUUAGGAUGUCUAGUUCCAUGAUAUGUAAGCAUAUUCAUGUGAUUCUAAAUAGAGAAAACGCUUUCAAGCAAGGAAUAGAGACUGUUCAUAUCAUCACAACAUUACAAACACGCAUAUAUUACCCAAAUCAUACUACGAGUAAUUAAAGGCAAACAAUUCAAAAAAAUAAAUCAUAUAAGUCUAAGAAAUAUUUAAUACCUUAAGGAAAACACUAAGAAAAGAAGUUAUAAAACUUUCUUUUCCUUCUCCAAAGACUUAUGUUUCUUUCUUUUCUUUCUAGGGUUUGUAACGGUGUAGAAAAUAAAAGACGGCUUCCUCUUAAAUACUUGUCAAUUAAUAAAUACUUUUUUUAAAAUUUAAUAACUUAUGUAAUUUAUUUAAAGCAAUUUGAUAAAUUUUACUCACACACAAACACUCAAUAAUAAUUAUCCUACUCAAUUUUGAUAAGGGUAAAAGUAGAAAAAUAAAUAAAUAAAUAAAUAAAAGUGGGCGUUACAUGUUUGGCAUAUGUCGAUGACAUUUCUAAAAUUACCCACUCUCAUGUUUGGCUUUUUUGAGAGUCCUCAUCAAUCAACAUAAAAAUUUCAUCUCAUACCUUGCAUAAAUACUAAACUAGGGGUUGUGUGCAUAUCUUGUGGACCAAUUAGCAAUAACACAUCCUCUUCACGAAACACCAAUAGAUGUCAUAAUUACUAUCUCUUUCUGUUGAUUUAAAACUACUUUCCAAAUUUGCUAUAUUCCAACAAUCUCUUUUAAGAUGUUUUGAUUACCUACACUCGUCCAAGGGUUUCUACUAGUGGAAUAGGCCUUACAUUGUUCUUUGCUUUACUUGUAUAGACAUACUGAAUCAUUACGUUAUUGACUUGAGCUUCCCAUAAGCAAACAUUGAUUAUUCUGUCAAACUUUUUUGUUUCUAUCCUCAUAGGUUUUGAAAACCUCCUUGUUGCCAUAUUUGUUCUACAUUGCAACCUUAGCUCUAUUAUCACCUACUAAGAAAUAAUUAAUUCCACUUAAGAUUCGUAAGAAAAAAUAUCAAAUAAAUAGUAAAUAUAAAAUAGAUAGAAAAUAAAGCCAAUCAAAUAAUACAAAAUUUACAUGAAAACUUCUAUAUUGGAAAAAAACUAUAAUAGCCAAGGACAAUAAGAGAAAAAAUUAUUAUGUAAAAAUUAUUAUAAUUACUCUAGUAUUUUUUUAACACCUAAAACACCAAAAGCACCUAAUCUCUUAAUAGAACUAUCUUUUCUCUCGCAGUAAAAACUAUAUGCUUACAGACAAUCGAUUGUUAUAUUAUGCAAAUAAGUAAACCUAAUCUCCAUAUAUACAUAUAUAUGUGUGUGUGUGUGUGUGUGUAGGUAUGUAUGUAUAUAUGUAUGUAUGUGUAUGUAUGUGUGUAUAUAUAUAUACACACAUAUAUAGAUACCUACAUACAUACAUACAUAUAUAUAUGUACAUGUAUGUACAUACAUACAUACAUACAUACAUACAUACACACACACACAUACAUGCAUACAUACAUAUAUGGUUUGUAUUCCUCUUUGAAUAAGUUAAGUUCUAAAGAGAAAAUUACUUAUUUCUUAAAUAUGAAUUAUCUUCAAUAAGAAAACUGAAAAGUGUAGAAAAUUCCUAAUUUAGGACUUAAAAAUCUUCUUUGAAGAAAGAGACAUCUCCCAAUAUCCUCAAAUCCUCUUUACAAUGCCACCAAUCUCUUUUGUGACUAGCCCAGUUGAAACUUUUAAUUGAUGGGCUGUAAUUGCCAAUAUCCAAAAUAUCCAAAUAAAACAAAUUUCCAUAGGUAUAUUGGUAGAUUGAAUGACAACUAACAAACACGUGAUUUGAUUAACUUAUUUCCAAAAAAAAAGAAAAAAAAAAGAUACAAUGGAUGAACAUAAGACUCUUUCAACUCAUGGAAUUCAUCAAUACGGCCUUGGCUGAUCCACCUCAUGACUAGUAGAGUUCAAACCCCCGCUAAAUAGUAAAAAAAAAUAUUUGGAUUAUUAAUUACUCUUUCUUAAGUCUAUUUAAACUUAACUUUGAGAAUUAUGAACGUCUACACUUUAAUUAAAACAAUACAAGCCCACCCGUUUGUAUUUAAAAUUUUGUUUGAAUUUAUUCACGAGCAACAAGAAUAGUAUAAAUGGAAAAAAAAAACCAUCAAAUAAUAUCCCAUGACUCUGUUUCUUCAAUUUCAGGAGCAAUGGUGGAAUCAUAUUUUCCGAUUGAAAAACUUUUGGAAAAAUUAGUGAGCUCUACUUGUGAAGAACUUUUAUUGUUCUACGGUGUCAAAAAUGACUUACAAAAAUUAAAGGAGACGUUAACCACUGUCAAAAGUGUGGUUUUGGAUGCUGAGGAAAAGCAAAUCCAUAAUCGCCGGUUAAACGAUUGGCUGGGAAAGCUUAAGGAUGCUUGUUAUGAUGCAGAAGAUGUGUUGGAUGAAUUUGAGGUGGAAAAUCUACGAGGAAAGUCAUGAAGCAAAGAAGCAUCGGAAGAAAGUUUCGUAACUUUUUUGGAAGCUCAAAUCCGAUAGCUUUUCGUUUUAGAAUGGGUCAUCAAAUCAAGAAAAUUCGAGAGAGGUUUGAUGAGAUUGCAAAAUUGAGGGGUGAGUUUAAUCUCAUUGAACGACUUGACGAUCAUCGGCUAGUUGGGCACAAAGAAAGGGAACCCACUCACUCGUUUGUGCUUUCAUCAGAUAUUAUUGGAAGAGAUAAAGAUAGAGAAAAGAUUAUUGAACUAUUGAUGCAAACAAGUGACGGCGAAAGUGAAACUGUGUCUGUGGUUCCUAUUGUGGGACUUGGAGGUUUGGGCAAGACUGCACUUGCAAAAUUGGUGUACAAUGAUCAAAGGGUAGAAGAGCAUUUUGAGUUGAAAAUCUGGAUAUGUGUUUCUGAGGAUUUUGAUGAGAGACAAAUUAUGACAAAGAUUAUCAAGUCGAUAACUGGUCAAAACCAAGGUGACUUGGAUACAGACCAAUUGCAGCGAAUCUUGCGAGAUCGUUUGAAUGGUAAGAGAUACUUGCUUGUUAUGGAUGAUGUAUGGAACGAAGAUCCUGAAGCAUGGCGUAAAUUAAAAAGCUUAUUCUUGGGAGGUGCUAACGGAAGCAAAAUUUUGGUAACCACACGUAGCAGGAAGGUUGCUUCAAUCAUGGGCACGAGGGGAGGUACUACUGGCUACAACUUACAAGGUCUACCAUUCGAGGAUUGCUUGUCUUUGUUUAUGAAAUGUGCAUUUAAAGAAGAGCGAGAUAAACAUCCAAACCUCAUAAAAAUCGGGGAAGAAAUUGUGAAAAAAUGUGGAGGAAUUCCUCUGGCAGUCAGAUCACUAGGAAGUCUACUAUAUGACUCAACGGAUGAACAUUUUUGGGAAUAUGUGAGGGAUAAUGAGAUAUGGCAGUUAGAGCAAAAGGAAAGUGGUAUUUUACCUGCUCUGAGGUUAAGCUACGAUCAAUUGCCGCCUCACCUGAAACGAUGUGUUGCUUAUUGUUCAAUCUUUCCCAAGGAUUAUCAAUUUUAUGGUGAUUCUUUGGUUCAAUUUUGGAUGGCUCAUGGUCUUCUCCAAUCGCAUAAUAAGAAAGAAGAGUUAGAAGAUAUUGGUAUGCGGUACUUGAAGGAAUUACUAUCAAGAUCUUUCUUCCAAGAUUGGACUUUUGGGAUUUCAGGAAUGGAGUCGUUCACUUUCAAAAUGCACGACCUUAUGCAUGAUCUUGCCCUGCUAGUGGCCAAAGAUGAAUUCCUAGUAGUGAACUCUGAUCGUCAAUCUAUUCCCAAAAGUGUCCGUCAUUUGUCAUUUGCUGCUGCUACUGCAUCAAGAAAUGACUUUUCAAGCCUUUUGUCUGAUCUAGGUCGUGUGAGAACCAUUUUCUUUUCAACUGAUGAUGAGAAGACAAGCCAAUCAUUUGUUGAAUCAUGCAUCUCAAAGUCGCAGUUCCUGAGAGUGCUAAAUUUAAGUGAAUCUUCUAUUGAGGUUUGUUCCAGGAAGAUGGGAAAUUUGAAGCACAUGAGGUAUCUUGAUCUGUCGAGAAAUUAUAAAAUCAAGAAACUUCCAAAAUCCAUUUGCAAGCUACAGAGUUUACAAACACUGGAUCUUGAAGGAUGUCUGGAGCUAGAAGAGUUGCCUAAAGACAUAAGGUACCUUGUCAGUCUCAGAGUGUUAGUGCUAACCACAAAACAGAAGUCUUUGCAAGAGAUUGGAAUAAGGAGCUUGGGUUCUCUUCGUUGUUUGACAAUUUCUGGUUGUAGGGAUUUAGAACAUUUGUUCGAGGAGAUAGAUCAAUUAAGUGUCCUUCGAACAUUAGUAAUUGUUAGUUGUCCUAGUCUAAUCUCAUUGCCACCUGCUAUCAAAUAUCUCAGCUCAUUAGAGACUCUGAUUUUGUCGGAUUGUGAAAGCCUUGAUCUUAAUCUGAACGUGGAAAUGGAAGGUGAAGGAAGUCAUCAUGAUCGCAAAAACACAAGGCCUCACAUUCGGAGGGUUUUCAUCGGGGAAAUAACACAGUUAUUAGAACUGCCACAAUGGCUUCUUCAAUGUUGUACUGAUUCUUUACAGAGCUUGUUAAUUUCUGAUUGUCCCAACUUCUUGGCACUACCAGGGUCUCUAAAAGAUCUCGAAGCUCUUGAAACUCUUGUCAUCGGGAAUUGUCCAAAAUUGUCAUCGCUGCCGGAGGGUAUGCAUCACGUCACAACUCUGAAAUCAUUGACCAUUAUAGGAUGUCCUGCACUGAGUGAACGAUGCGAACCGCCAACAGGUGAAGAUUGGCCCAAGAUUGCACAUAUCACUCAGAUUGAUAUGGAUGGUUCCCCAGUUUCAGUGCGUUGAAGACGAGAUAAUCAAAUCAAGAGAUAUUUAGGUAUGGAUUUUUUUUUUCAAUAAGCAUACCACUCUGUUAUAUUUCCUCUUUUCAUGCAGCUUUGUAAUUUUUAAUUUCUCAUACAGCUAUACCGUUUAUAGUUUAAUGUUUUGUUAUGUUUACCAAACGAAAACUGGACUUUGAACGUUAGUUAGUUCAAUCAAACUUGUACUAAUUUAUUUUCUUCUAAUAGAUAAGUAGUUUGUCAGUACAAAACACAAAAAUAAAAUUUUGGAAACCGCACUGUUCUAGGGGUCAGAUCUGUUUCUAAAUUCAAACAGUUCAGGAUUUUUCAAAAUGGAACUUAUAAUGAGAUUUUUUUUUUAAUUAUCUAGUUAUCUUCAUAUGGAAUUUCAAUCUUUGUUAAUACUUUAACUUGCGCCGAAACAUCUAACAAUUCUUCCUCUUAUCCUUUUUUUUUCCCAAAUAUUGCAGCUUUCUUGGGAGAGGUUCAACCAAACUGCAGGGACAGUGAAAAUAUUACUCUAACGUUUUUCAGAACAGAGCUUCAAAGGUUUUAAUGUUGAUAAACAAGUACAUUGAGUGAGGUAUAUGUGUGUGCCUGUGUGGUCAUCACAAACAGUGAAAAAGUCAUUUUAUCAAAUGAUUUGGUGAAAUUUCAAGUACUUUCAGCUUGGUUUUUGCAGUUAAUAGGAAGUAGUUUGGUCUUGGGAUGUGGUAUAUGUAUCAAGUUCUUAUUGCUGGUGAACAUUACUGGUUUAGUGUGUGAUCAUUUACUAUCACUGCAUGCAUUAUCAGUUUAUUUUAUUAAACUAUCCCAAAUCAGUAACGAAUCCUCAAUUCCCUCUGUUUUCUUUGGAUCCUAGUAGUGUUUGGCAUGCAUCAACUAGUGUUCAUGCAUGUGUCGGUUCAUCAUAGACAACUUCAGCACACAUACAACGGCCCUCAUUUCUCCUUGCUCCAAUCAAUCGAUGGCAGAAUCAUCACAGACACCUUGAGCUCUGUCGAAUCAUCAUAGACAAUUUGUGAUUAGUGGGAGCAUUACAAGAAAGUUACGACUACUUCAAACUGUUAGAUUUGUUAAUAUGAUUCGGCUAUAGUUCUAUAAUUGGUGAGUUUUUGUGGGUUUGUUUGAUAUUUUUUUGUGGGUUUGUUUCUUAUAAUCUUUAUCCAGUCAAAGCAAACGUUCGCCUCUCACAUUGACGGUUAGGCUAGAUGUUUGACCCUGAAUAAGAUGAUUGAGUUUAUUAUAGUCUUCUUAUAUUGUCGGUUCAAUAUCAUUUUGAAAUAUCACAUCAAUUUCACUUUUGGAGUUUUAAUCCAUGCCCAGUUACACCUUUAUUUUACUUUUAAGCUGCAACAUUGAGUCACAUUCUUUUUCUGUUAUUAUUACGAUUAGCGACUGGUACAGUGGUAUUUGAACUGCAUAGCGUGUCAACAUUCACUCUAAAUGUCUUAGAAACUCUGUCUAUCACUAAUUUCCUAGAACAGGCCUCGUUGACAGUCAAAGAUUUGAGGCGUCUUUGUCAUCGUAGUUAUAAUUGAUUGUGGAGAGUGAAAACGCACUGUGAUGAAUGAAUGCAAAAGCUAUGUAAUUAAGACUACAUUUCUUAGGUUGGUGACCACAAAUAAUCGGAAGGAUAUUCACAAUAGUGUUAUUGAAGCUCUAUAUGGAAUAAGGAGACCAAACCUGUAUGUGAUAAGAGUUGUAUGAAUACCAAAUGAAUUGUAAGAGGAUAUGGUUACUUUAGAUUGCAAUUUAAGAAUGCUUGAGUUCUAAAAGCACAGAAAUGGGAUCAGUCUCUUGCUCGAGGGUAAACUCCUUCGUCAGUUAGUGAACUGUCCAUCAAAAGUAAAUAUUUAUGUGAUUGAGAGAAAUUUUGGAUUUUUGAUGAAAACAAAAAUCCUGUAUGCAUUUGCUUGCCCCCAAGGAGCUGAAGAUUCUCAAAUUGUUUGUAGACGUAAUAGUUCUUCUGAUAUCAUUUGGCUUGCUAAUCUUUCUUGCUCGAAAAUUUGCCCGUUGUGUGGUCUUGAUGGUGGGUGAAAUUGAUGUGUGGUUUCAGAUGAAGACGGCAGCAGAUAUGUGUGUGCCAUAUGACAUCGAGAAAAAGCAAAAGCCUUAAAGAGUUCAUCAACAUUUUCCAUUCAGAAGAAUCUGUUUUGUGGUUUUCAUGCUCGAGUGCCUACUUUUCAGUAUGCAAGCAGAGGAUUUGGCAUUAAUUUGGGGAAGCCUUUUUUUUGGGUAUAUGAGUGUGUGCAUUCCUUCAAUCACGUAGCUUUGUGCCAUUAACAUAAUGGCAAUUCCACAAUUGUGAUAAUGAGAAUUUUAUGAUUGGGGCAUAUUGUUAGGAACUCUUUACUGGUUUUUCUUUCCCCAUCUGGAUCUAUGAUUAAGGUUGUUUAAGGUGUUAUGGCUUUUAAUCUGCAAUCAUUGCGAAAGGGACUCACUAGCCGGCAAAUAAUAAAACAUGGUGCUGUCAAAUUUUAUAAGGAUUAUAUAUACAUACUCUUUCGUCUUCAAUGCACUGAAACUGGGGAACCAUCUAUAUGAUUUUCAUUCAGAAAAACCGGCGGGAACUAAUGACUUUCAUGAUUAAAAGUAGGAUUAUCGGAUUAUGGAGCAUUGUUAUGUAACGUUUUAUGGUUAUCUUAAGGAAAAAGUUGGCUUGGAAAUUAACUGAAAGGCAAUAUUCAUUCUAUCAUAAAACAAGUGUUUUUUUCACAAGGGGAGAAGGUUCCCUUUAUAAUUUACUAAUUUAUGCAACCGUUAAUAUUAAAAGAAAUUUUUUUUUAUAUUAAGGAUGAUGAUUCUUUUUCCCUUAGUAAAGUCUGUAUAUAACAUAUGAUGUGGUAAGCAAGGAAUCAAUUUAUCCCCUAUUUUGUUUUUCUUACUUUUUUUUCCCAAAAUAUUGCAACUUUCUUUGAAGAGGUUCGGCCAAACUGCUGAGACCGUCAGUACAGAGGUUCAACGGUUUUUUAAUACUGCAUUUUAAAAUUACAUGUAUUAUAUAUUCAUUACUUGUGAUUAUGUAAUUUUCUGAUGAUAAGUACAUUGAGUAAUGUAUAUAUGUGUGGCUGUGUGAUCAUUACUGAUAAUCUUAAUCAUAUAUUUCAAUACCAAUAAUGUUUCAGAAUUUCUCAAAUUCUCAGAAUAUACUCUCAAAUUCAUGUUUAUACUCUGUUCUUUCUCUUUCUCCUUCCUGGGUAAAUAUAAUUCAUUUGAUCGGGCUCUAAAUCCAUUUGAUCAGCAAUUAUUCUUUACGAGUUUGGCAAUCGAGCAAACUGAUUAUCAGUUGGCAAACUAAUUAGAUAUUGCAUUUUGGCCUUGAAGUGAAAUUAGUGAACAUGUUUCUUGAGGGCUCUUUUUAUAAGACACUUGAAGAAGAAAAUUCAUAUUUUUGCAAUGCUUCUUUCUCAAUAUAAAAUGAGUAAUUCGAAAGAAAAUUUAUUAUAGUAGAAACUACAACAAAAAGUUUUAAGUAUUGUUAAUCACAUCAUCAUAUUACGGUAUUACCAUUUAAUUUUUUAUUUUUAUCUAGUUUAAAUGAAAAAUUAAAGAAGCUUGGAACUUGGAGGGUAAUUUGAAUUCCGAAACGGCACCGUUUCACCUCGACCCACUAGAUACAAACUGAUUAUGAGUGAUACCAACGAUUGACCACUGUGACAGAGAGCCUCUCUCGGCGACGCCGACGGCCAGCUUUCACGCUCAUCUGCCGUCAUAUUCGCCAGCCGCCUGCUGUCACUCCGUCUUUGUUGUUGCGCCGGUGAAGGUGAGUACCGAGUUGCCAGUUGAGUUCAAUGGUUGUAUUUUGUAAUAGCAAUUAUAAUUAUCGGGUUUAAUUUGGGACAAUUUUGAUCAUCAAACUUUGCCAUGUUUCGUAUGACUCUGUUCUGUCUCACAUAGCAGGUUCUUGGUAGUUCGUACUCAUCAAUGUAUCCUGAUCGUGGUAUGGGAGGCAGCAGUUACAUGGGUAGUGGUGGUUCCGGAUCAUACUAGUGCUACGGUAAAAAUUGAAUUGUAAGUGAAAUUUUCUUUUAUGUAAAAUUACAAUGAUAUGAUUUUCUUGGUGUAUCAUAAACUGAGGUAUAAUGGUUCACCGAAGACUUUGGCAUCUCUCCAGUUUGCUAAGACGUAUGGCUCACAACGAAGGAAUCUACGGUAACAAGUGAAUAUUCUAUGGAACAGACUUGAGAUGAUGACAAAGAGGGUGCUGUAAGUGUAGGGUGUGGACUAUAUGAAGCUUCUCACACUAGGAUGCUUGCUACUUUGGAGAGGAUCAAGUUGCUGAGCCUAACAGCCUCCAUAUGUCACGGGAAGGGCUGCACUGGUUUAGGCCAUUCUUGGUUCUACAGACUGAUUACUUUGUCAAGUCUUAAUGCUGCAAGGAAACUCCCCUCAGUGUGUGAUAUGUACGAAUUGCUUCUUUACUUUUCUGUAUAAGAACUCCACUCGAUGGACAGUGUGGAGGCAUCUGUAUAAAUCUGUUUAUUGGAACCGACCCUGUCUUGAUCCGAAUUUUAAAACCUAAUCGAAUUUUAAUAUCGAACCCAACCGGAUAUCUCGAUUCGAUUCGGUUUGGUUUUAAACUCGGUUCUAUUUUUUAGGAACCGCCAGCUUGGGUACGGAACCGAACCAAACCAAACCGUACACUGUGUGCCUCGGUAAAGAGUUUGAUUUCUCUAUUUUAACCUUAAUUAAAUAUUGAUUUCCAAUUUUACCCUUUAACAAAACUAAAUUAAAUAACAAUAAUUUUCACUUCCUUUUUUGAUUUCAUUUUACGGCUCAACAAAACGGGGUUUUUAAUUAAAUAUGCCUUAAAAGUACGGUAUUUAGUUAAAUAUACCUCAUGCUUGAAAAUUAUCUAAAUAUGCCUUUUUAUGUGGUACAUUGUCUAAAAUGUCCCUAAAGAAAAAUAUAAAACACACACAACUCACAACACUCUUUACUUCACUCUUUAACUCCACACAACAAAAACUCACACUACACUCAAAAUCACUCACAAACAGAUAAUGCACUGAGAUUUUUAUUUGCAGCUGGGUGUAUUAUUCAUCCCAUGAAUAAGGUAUUUGAAACUUUUUAUUUUUUAUUUUGGGCUAUCUAUUCAAUUUGUUGACAUUAUAUUAUUUUUAGGGUUUUGUUUGGUUUGUGAUAAACACUAAAGCAACUCUUAUUUUUAUUACAUUUGCAUCAUAUGAUUGUUAUUUGAUGGAUUUUAUAACUACAUUCGUUAAAACCUGAAGUUGUUGUCAAAUUUUUUUUCUGCACCCGACAUACACGACAGUAGUCGUGUAUGUAUGUAUUUACACGACUGUAGUCGUGAAAAUGUGCAAAAAAAAAUCAAUUAUUAUGACACCUUAUCAUUCUAUUGGUUCAAAAAAUAUAUUUUUUUCACUAUAUUUAUCAUUUUACUAUUACUGCACUAUAGUCGUGUGUGUUAAUAAGUUACACGACUACUAGCAUGUACGUAUAAACUUACAUACUAUAAUUGUGUAUAUAUGUAAAAUGUUCCAAUUGGUAUGAGAUCCCAACAUUUUUUUAAGAAGAAAUGUCCUUUGAUUAUUUACUGAGUCAUGUAUUUUUGCAACUUACACGACUUCUGUCAUGUAUGUAUGAAUUUACACGACAACAAUCGUACAAGUUUGAAAGAUAUAGUAGUUGUUAUGACACCUAACAUUCUGUUAGUACAAAGAUUAUGGUUAUAUUUUAUUAAAUAUAUCAUCUGACUGUUUACAGAACUAUAGUUGUGUAUUUUAGCAAGUUACACAACUAUUAUCGUGUAAACUAUCAAUUACACGACGUCAAUCGUGUAAAUAGGCAGACAAAUCCACACUUCAUUUUAAGUCUUGUGAACAUGCAUUAGCUGUUUGUAGGUAUCGAGAAACAUUGUCUGUAUAUGACAUGUGUUCUCGUUACUAUUCCAGUGAAGCAUGGGUUGUAGCAUACGCAGAAACAAUAUAUCCUGUUGGCAUAGAAGAAGAAAUUAGAGGUUUCAGAAAAAGUGCAAAGUAAUGAGGUGUUGCCCCCUGUGGAAAAGUGGAAAAGGGGUCGGCCACAACAAAUUAGGAUACCAUCACAAGGCGACGAAAAGUUACGCCGUAAGUGUGGUAGGUGUGGUUCUCGAGGACAUAAUCGACUAACUUGCAGUGCACCAAUCCCACUGUCUAACAAUGAGCCCGUAGUUAAAUCGAAUGAAACAUAAACAAGCACAUGUACUACUAUGAACCUUAUAUACUUGUUAUUUUUUGUUGUUUUAAUUUUUUUAAUAUCUUUCAUAUUUAGUGAUAAAUUUCUACCUUUUGUUUCACAGAUGAAUAACUGUGUUUGUGUGGCUUUCUAAGAAUAAGUAUUGAAGGGAGGCGACUAGAGGCUUAUAAAAUAUGGACCGAGUGUUUGGGUUGAAUAUGCCAAAAAUUUAUGAUGAAUGUUAAACAACUUCUAUUGUAUUACGACUUAUUUACGAUUUCAAUAAGUAUUGAAUUUAUGUUAUUUAAUAAGCAACCGGACUAUAGUUAAUUUCAUUUAUUUGAAGUUUGAUAUGUUUAAAAUCUAUAUUGAUUGUGUCAUCAAUAUAAUGAAUGAUUGAAAAGAGUUUUUAUUCUGUGCACAUACCCGAGUACAAUCGUGUAUUUUGGCUGUUACAGAACUACUCAUGUUUAUUUCUAAAUACUCGACUACAGUCGUGUAUCUGUGCAAAUACCCGACUGUCACAGAGAGCUUGUCAUGUUUAUUUCUAAAUACUCGACCAUAGUUGUGUAUCUGUGCAAAUACCUGACUGCAGUCGAGUAUUUUGUCACAGAGAGCUUAUUAUGUUUAUUUCUAAAUACCCGACUGCAGUCGUGUAUCUGUGCAAAUACCCGACUGCAGUCGAGUAUUUUGUCACAGAGAGCUUAUUAUGUUUAUUUCCAAAUACCCGACUGCAGUCGAGUAUUUUGUCACAGAGAGUUUGUCAUGUUUAUUUCUAAAUACCUGACUGUAGUCGUGUAUCUGUGCAAAAACCCGACUGCAAUCGUGUAUUUUCUUACAGUGUAUUCCCUGUGCAUAUAUGGCAAUCCUGUUAUAUCACAUAGAUUGUACAAACUAUCUUAUCUAUCAUUAAUAUAAUUAACAAAGAAAUAAAUUAUAUUAAUGUUGUCAAUUUUCUUUAAUGACAUCAAAUAUCAACAACAUCCUCAUCAUAACUAUUACAUCUCAUAGUCCAAAAAAUGACACUACAAAGUUUUUUUUCAUGACCUAUGCCUAAAUAAUUUUACAGCCAAGGCUUGUCGAAAUUGUGUAACAUGAUCUUGUUGGCAAUAUAAAUUGACAUCAAGUCCAUGGGCUAGGACCUUUAAGUACCGCAACAAAAAUGCUCCACAAUCACCACUAAAAAAAUUCAUAUAAAUCAAUUGUUAAAAAUCAUCAUUUUAUGUGAUUUCAGCAUUGAAGUAUUUGCAGGUACUAUACAAAGGCAUUAUAGUUCCCAAUCAAGAAUAUGGAAUUUGUCUCGACAACUUGAAUAACAAAUCUCUGUACUUCCCAGUUUCAAAGUACUGGUAACAGAAACACAUUUUGGCAGUAACACAUUUUUCCAGUUUUUCCAUAGUUCUCAUCACCUUGUGACAAAUUUGUAAAUCACAAGUUAUUCCUCUUUUUCUCUUUUAUAAUAUAACAUUAUUAAUCAAAUAAAAUGCAAUUAAUUUGUUCAAUGACUUUAUCACAACUUCAUGAACUAAUUUCAAGACAACUCCUAGUCUUAGUUCUCAACUGCAAGUAUUGAAGUUGGGUUGAUUAUUUCUUGAUAGAAGUGACACCAAAAUCGAAAUUGAUGUGCAUUUUAUAUGUGUAAUUUGCCCAAAAAGAAUUAAAGAUUCAAGAACCUUGCAAGGAGAGAAAGUUGCCAUGUGUGCAAAUGUGGUCCACUUAAAUAAAAAUGAAAUUCUGGAGACAAACAAAACAACAAAAUGUACACGUUGCCAUCUGCAUUCACUCAAAACUCAAUUCGCUUAACCGGGCCAUAUACUCCUCAUGGAUGGAAAGUAAAAUCCUAGUCUCACCUAACAUUUUCACAGAUAUUAAAUUGAUAAAUUACCUUCAAUUUUUCGUUUUACUUGUUUUGGCGCGUUUCAACGAGAGUGUAGAAGAGUUGUUGUAAAAUGGCAGGGAUUUGUAAAAUGGAAGAUGAGACGCUGAAGGAGAGUGGGGGAAUUGCAGCUACUGGUUUGCACAGAAGCGGCGUCGUUUUACUUGUUUUGCUGCGUUUCGGCUAGAGUGUGUAGAAGAAUUGUUGUAAAAUUGCAGGGAUUUGUAAAAUGGAGGAGGAGAAAUCAGAAGAAGGGGCUGAAGGAGACGCUGCUCAUGAGAGAAUUGGGGGUUUUGUUAAUUGGUUGUGGUAGUUUGGUUGAUUUAGGUUUUUCAUUAGGUUAAUUUCGUAACUGCACAUUAGAAAAAGUAUAUACAGUGAAUUUUUGAGUAUGAGGGUGUUUUUAGAUAAAUACCCUAUUUUUAGGGUAUACCACGGACAAAUCCCUGCAACGGAAUCUCUCAAAACCGUUGUUCUGAACUUCCGGCGGCUUUCAGUACCGGCGAAGGCUGAAGAUUCAAGCAAUAGAGCUGCUCAUGAUGAGGGGAAGGAGAAGAAGACUUAGCGAGUUCGCAAGAACGUAUAUAGAGGAAUAAGGGAGAGGCCGUGGGAAAAAUGGGCAGUUGAAAUUAGAGACCCUUUCAAGGGCGUCCGCGUUUGGCUCGGCACACUUUCAACACAGCCGAAGCCACCAAGCGUAUCCGCGGCAACAAGGCCUAGCUCAACUUUGCUCUGCCGCCGCCGGCGCCAAUAACUCCACCUCUAGCUAAGAAACGCUGCACGCUAUCUCCUGCUAUCCCCUGAGUUACUCAGCCGAGUUUUGAAGAUUACUUUUUUUUUUCUUUUGGGCUUUCAUUGGUUUAUCAUUUGAGUCUACAAACAAAUUGUAUUCUUUUUCCCUAAAUUGUGAACACUUGGGGUUUUUAUUGUUGAAAUGCUUUAUUAUUUUUCGAUGACCAAGUAAUGUGAAUCAAUGUUCUCUUUAAAUAAUUUUCCCCUGUCCUUGCAUGUUCUACCGGUCAUUAUUUUUUAUUUGAAUUUGAAGAAACUUUCUAAGUGCAUACACCCAUAUGAAGUCGAAGAUCUUCCAGACAAGGUGGCAUCCAUCAAGAUCAAGAAAUUUUACUGCUUAGCAUGUGUUAUAUUUAUGGAUUGGCUAUUGAAAAAAUAAUGUUUGUACUGAUGCAGAUGCAGGAACUUUACACAUCUUAAGUUUACGUGAUAUUUUUUUCUUUUUUGACUCUGUUAGAUAGUUGUCAGUUAGUUAACCAAUUUAUGUUACUCUUCCUUGGCUAGCCAAUUAAGAACUCAUGUUUGCUGGAUUGUAAAGCCUACAUCUGGAAGCCACAGGUGAUUUUAUUUGAAGGCAAUUUGUUCUAGGCUAUAUGCGGAUUUCUAUCAUGAUUUCUGUAAGCUUGAAGGAGAUUUUUUUUAUGCGUGAGAGCUUGAAAAUUAUAUAUGUACAUGUUGAAACUAUUGGAUAUAUGUUAAGAAUCAAGCAUAAUUGUGUCGAGAUGAAACCAUAAUUUGGGUGCUGUUUUAUGAGUAAACUAUCUGCAAUUUGGGUGCAGUAAACCUAGGUUGAAUACCGGGACAUGGUAUAAAAGUGAAAUCACACAUUGAGUCUCGCAUAAAGAUUUUAAAGAUGCAAAUUCGAAUUGUACAUGAGAUGUUAUCUUGAUCGAAUUGCAGCGGCUUUGUUUUGGAUCCAGAAAACAAAAUUGUAAGCACAGAGAAGUCUCUAUGGGAUGCUUAUAUUAAGGUGCAUAAUGGCCUCAUUGAGUUUUGUGUUGUUGUUCUACGUUGUUUGAGUUUUGUGCUUCUGUUCUUUGUUGCUGCUUUUGCUACCGAUUUUGGCUAUUUUCUGCCACUCUGUUAUUUGCUAUUUUUUACUACUUUGGCUGCUGAUUUUUGCUGUUUUCGCUGCUUUAGCUGUUGUUUUGUCUGCUUUUUUUUUUUUUUUUUACUGCUCUUAUUGUUGAUUUUUGCUGUUCUCUAUCGUGUUUUACCCACUGGUUGUCGCAUGUUUAUUAAUACUGUUUGCUGCUGUUUUUUGCUGCUAAUUUUUUUUUUUUUUUUUCUGUUUUCUGCGGUUAUUUGCUGCCGUUGCUGUUUUACUCGCCAGUUGAUGAUGUUUUGUGGUUCUCCUCCUCCUCGAGUGCCUACUUUUUCCAGUGUGCAAGCAUAUCUGUUGAGAGUGGCUGAUGAAAUCACUAAACUGUUACAGUUGAUCUCAUGCUUCUCUAGAGAAGGAAUUAGACUUAUUUUGGUGAAGGGGUUUUUUCUGGUUUUUAUAUCAGUGUGUGCGUUUCUUCAAUCAUGUAGCUUUGUGGCAUUACGAUCGAUAAUGUAAUUUGCUGAUGAUAAGUACACUGAGUGAUGUAUAUAUGUGUGGCUGUGUGAUCAUUACUGAUAAAUUCAUUUGAUCAGCAAUUAUUCUUUACGAGUUUGGUAAUCGAGCAAACUGAUUAUCAGUUGGCAAACUAAUUAGAUAUUGCAUUUUGGCCUUGAAGUGAAAUUAGUGAACAUGUUUCUUGAGGGCUUCUUUUAUAAGACACUUGAAGAAGAAAAUUCAUGUUUUUGCAAAACUUCUUUCUCAAUAUAAAAUGAUAAUUCGAAAGAAUAUUUAUUAAAGAAGCUUGGAACUUGGAGGGCAAUUUGAAUUCUGAAACGGCACCGUUUCACCUCGACCCACUAGAUACAAACUGAUUAUGAGUGACACCAACGAUUGACCGCUGAGACAGAGAACCUCUCUCGGUGACGCCGACGGCCAGCUUUCACGCUCAUCUGCCGUCAUAUUCGGCAGCCGCCUGCCGUCACUCCGUCUUUGUUGUUGCGCCGGUGAAGGUGAGUACCGAGUUGUCAGUUGAGUUCAAUAGUUGUAUUUUGUAAUAGCAAUUACAAUUAUCGGGUUUAAUUUGGGACAAUUUUGAUCAUCAAUCUUUGCCAUGUUUCGUAUGACUCUGUUCUGUCUCACAUAGCAGGUUCUUGGUAGCUCGUACUCAUCAAUGUAUCCUGAUCGUGGUAUGGGAGGCAGCAGUUACAUGGGUAGUGGUGGUUCCGGAUCAUACUAGUGAUGUGGUAAAAAUUGAAUUGUAAGUGAAAUUUUCUUUUAUGUAAAAUUACAAUGAUCUAAUUUUCUUGGUGCAUUAUAAACUGAGACAUAAUGGUUCACCGAAGACUUUGGCAUCUCUCAAGUUAGCUAAGACGCAUGGUUCACGACAAAGGAAUCUACGGUAACAAGUGAAUUUUCUAUGGAACAGACUUGAGAUGAUGACAAAGAGGCUGCUGUAGGGUGUGGACUAUAUGAAGCUUCUCGCAUUAGGAUGCUUGCUACUUUGGAGAGGAUCAAGUUGCUGAGCCUAACAGCCUCCAUAUGUCAUGGGAAGGGCUGCACUGGUUUAGGCCAUUCUUGGUUCUACAGACUGAUUACUUUGUCAAGUCUUAAUGCUGCAAGGAAACUCCCCUCAGUGUGUGAUAUGUACGAAUUGCUUCUUUACUUUUCUGUAUAAGAACUCCACUUGAUGGACAGUGUGGAGGCAUCUGCAUAAAUCUGUUUAUUGGAAUCAACCCUGUCUGAUCCGAAUUUUAAAACCGAAUCGAAUUUUAAUAUCGAACCCAACCGGAUAUCUUGGUUCGAUUCGGUUUGAUUUUAAGCUCGGUUCUAUUUUUUAGGAACCGCCAGCUUGGGUACGGAACCGAACCAAACCAAACCAAACCGUACACUGUGUGCCUCAGUAAAGAGUUUGAUUUCUCUAUUUUAACCUUAAUUAAAUAUUGAUUUCCAAUUUUACCCUUUAACAAAACUAAAUUAAAUAACAAUAAUUUUCACUUGCUUUUUCGAUUUCAUUUUACGGCUCAACAAAAUCUCUCAAAACCGUUGUUCUGAACUUCCGGCGGCUUUCAGUACCGGCGAAGGCUGAAGAUUCAAGCAAUAGAGCUGCUCAUGAUGAGGGGAAGGAGAAGAAGACUUAGCCGAGUUUUGAAGAUUACUUUUUUUUUUUCUUUUGGGUUUUCAUUGGUUUAUCAUUUGAGUCUACAAACAAAUGGUAUUCUUUUUCCCUAAAUUGUGAACACUUGGGGUUUUUAUUGUUGAAAUGCUUUAUUAUUUUUCGAUGACCAAGUAAUGUGAAUCAAUGUUCUCUUUAAAUAAUUUUCCCCUGUCCUUGCAUGUUCUACCGGUCAUUAUUUUUUAUUUGAAUUUGAAGAAACUUUCUAAGUGCAUACACCCAUAUGAAGUCGAAGAUCUUCCAGACAAGGUGGCAUCCAUCAAGAUCAAGAAAUUUUACUGCUUAGCAUGUGUUAUAUUUAUGGAUUGGCUAUUGAAAAAAUAAUGUUUGUACUGAUGCAGAUGCAGGAACUUUACACAUCUUAAGUUUACGUGAUAUUUUUUUCUUUUUUGACUCUGUUAGAUAGUUGUCAGUUAGUUAACCAAUUUAUGUUACUCUUCCUUGGCUAGCCAAUUAAGAACUCAUGUUUGCUGGAUUGUAAAGCCUACAUCUGGAAGCCACAGGUGAUUUUAUUUGAAGGCAAUUUGUUCUAGGCUAUAUGCGGAUUUCUAUCAUGAUUUCUGUAAGCUUGAAGGAGAUUUUUUUUAUGCGUGAGAGCUUGAAAUUAUAUAUGUACAUGUUGAAACUAUUGGAUAUAUGUUAAGAAUCAAGCAUAAUUGUGUCGAGAUGAAACCAUAAUUUGGGUGCUGUUUUAUGAGUAAACUAUCUGCAAUUUGGGUGCAGUAAACCUAGGUUGAAUACCGGGACAUGGUAUAAAAGUGAAAUCACACAUUGAGUCUCGCAUAAAGAUUUUAAAGAUGCAAAUUCGAAUUGUACAUGAGAUGUUAUCUUGAUCGAAUUGCAGCGGCUUUGUUUUGGAUCCAGAAAACAAAAUUGUAAGCACAGAGAAGUCUCUAUGGGAUGCUUAUAUUAAGGUGCAUAAUGGCCUCAUUGAGUUUUGUGUUGUUGUUCUACGUUGUUUGAGUUUUGUGCUUCUGUUCUUUGUUGCUGCUUUUGCUACCGAUUUUGGCUAUUUUCUGCCACUCUGUUAUUUGCUAUUUUUUACUACUUUGGCUGCUGAUUUUUGCUGUUUUCGCUGCUUUAGCUGUUGUUUUGUCUGCUUUUUUUUUUUUUUUUUUACUGCUCUUAUUGUUGAUUUUUGCUGUUCUCUAUCGUGUUUUACCCACUGGUUGUCGCAUGUUUAUUAAUACUGUUUGCUGCUGUUUUUUGCUGCUAAUUUUUUUUUUUUUUUUUCUGUUUUCUGCGGUUAUUUGCUGCCGUUGCUGUUUUACUCGCCAGUUGAUGAUGUUUUGUGGUUCUCCUCCUCCUCGAGUGCCUACUUUUUCCAGUGUGCAAGCAUAUCUGUUGAGAGUGGCUGAUGAAAUCACUAAACUGUUACAGUUGAUCUCAUGCUUCUCUAGAGAAGGAAUUAGACUUAUUUUGGUGAAGGGGUUUUUUCUGGUUUUUAUAUCAGUGUGUGCGUUUCUUCAAUCAUGUAGCUUUGUGGCAUUACGAUCGAUAAUGGCAACUCCACAAUGAUGAUAAUGAUAAUUUUGUGAUUCAGACACGUUGUUAGGAAUUCUGUACUGGUUUUUCUCUCGCCUUCGGUGUCUACGAUGAAGCAUAUAAUGGCUUUUAAUCUGCAACUGCUGCAAAAUGGACUCACUAGCUAGCAAAUAAUAAUAUAUAGUGCUGUCAAAUUUAUAAAGAUUAUAUAUACACACACUUUCGUGUUCAAUGCACCGACACUGGAUGUAUAUUGGCAUUUAGAAAAGUUGGCGAUAACUAAUGACUUUCAAGAUUAAUUAAAUGACAAUAUUCAGUCUAUCAUAAAACAAGUUUUCAACAAGUGAAGAGGAGGUACUCUUUAUAAUUGGAUAAUUAAUGCAAACUUCAAUAUUUUCAACCAAAAGAAAACAAUGAUAUUUGAUAUGUAUUCAACAUUAGGGAAAAACCACCCAUAUCGAAGGUUUGCUUAAAUGAUCAAAUAAAUCCACUUAGUUUCUUAAAUGGUUAUACAUAUCCUCUUUUUGACUAUUUAUUGGGUUAUGUUUGAGAGUUAGGACUAAGUGUGGGAUUAUACUAACUUUGAGAUUAAAUAUUAUUCCAUAUUUAGCAAUUUUCCUUGGAUUGGAUUAUGAGAGACUAAAUUCUAAGUUAGUUGUUAAAUAAAGGGGAUUGGCAAUACCAAUUUAUAAAUAGAUUUAAAUGGGAUUAGAAUAAGAGGAAAAAAUGUUCAUUUGUAAUAUUUCUUUCAUAUAUAACACCAUCUUUUAUUUAUUACUUAAAAUUUAAUUAAUGAAUUAAUUAUUCUAUUCAUGAUUUACUUGAAAUAUAUUUUUUAUUUUGUUUUUAUAUUCUAAUUAAAUUGGUACUUUAAUUUAAUAAUUUGUUACAUUAAUUGAUUGUACUAAAUUUAAUAAUCACCAAUGUAAUAUUAAAAUAUAAUUAUGAAAAUUAAUAAUACUAGUAAUUAAUUGAUUUUAUAUAUUAUUUGUUAAUUUUUGGAUAAAAUAAAAUAUAUAUCUAAAAUAUCUAAAUAAUCAAAAACUUUUAUUAAUUUAUAUUUUUUAUUACAAUUAUGACUACCCAUAAGUAAUUUAUUGUAUAUUUAAUGUUCUUAUUAAUUAUAUUUAAAUUAGUCUUAAUUAUUAUUCUUAAAUAUUCAUAAAUAGUUUUUUAUUUAAAUAUAAUUUAACAUUGUCUAAUCUAAUGUUGUACCAAACAUAAGACAAUACUGUAUAAUCCCACAUAAUACUUAGUCCAAUUUAGUCUUGCAUGCCAAAUGUAAUCUUAUACACUUUCAUUACAACAAGCCAAUAAUUGACUUAAAUAAACUUCUAUAACAAUUAUAAGUUAAAAUUAAAAUAAUAUGAUAUAUAAAAUAAGAUAAAAUUUAUAAAUUAUUUUGAAUAUUAGACAAAUGAUUUUAACAUUAUUAAUUUGUCAUAUUCUUUUACUACUAAUAAAAUAUGUUUGACAAAUUAAUAAUAUUAAAAUAAUUAUACCUAACAUUCACAAUAAUUUAUAAAAUUUAUAUAUUUUGUUUGCAAUUUUUUUUAAUUAUGUCUAUAUUAAUAUAAAUCUUAAAGUCAAUUUUUGGAUUAAUAGAUUUUAGUAUAUAUAAUAAUAACUUAAUAUUAAAAAUAAUUUUCAUUACAUACGUUAUUCUAUUAAUUAUCUUAUUGUAAUAUUUUAUUUGUAUCAUAUGAUAUUUAUUAAUUAUUAUUUUUAUCUUAUUACUAUAUUUAUAUUUAUUUGUGUUGUUGUAAUCAAAGGGUAUAGUAACUAAAAAUGUGUUUAUGUGACUAUUUAACCUAAAGGGUCUUUGUGACCAUUUAAGUAAACCUUGGAAAUGUGCGACAAUAGUCAUUCUAAUGACUUUCAAGAUUGAAAGUGAGUCGGAUUAUCAAAUUAUGAAGCAUUAAUACGUAAUGUUUUAUGGUUAUUUUAAGGUUGAAGUUGGUUUAUUCAUUAAACAAGCUUUUAACAAGAGGAGAAGGUUCCCUUUAUAAUUUAAUAAUUAAUACAACCUUCAAUAACAAAAAAAUCAUAUAAUAAGGAUGAUGAUUCUUGCUCACUUGGAUAAGAUAUAUAUAUAUAUAAAACCUAUGAUGUGGUAAGCAAGGAAUCAAUUAUGUAUUUCUUAAUCAAUUCAAUUUCUCUAUUACAUUUUCAUGGCGAAUGUCCCUUACUUCCAUUACCUUGGGAUUGUAAAAUGAUGCUUAAUGCUGCUUUCAAAAAAUUAACAUACACAUCCUUUUAUUCUAAUGGAUCAUAGCACGCAAUGCAUUACCAAUAGGGAUGACUAAAAUCUCCGCAGAGACGGGUACCUUCGUAGAUUUUUCUAAGUAAGACUUGUGUCGUCUUGUCCUCUGGCAAGUUUUGUUUUGUCUUGUCCUACUGACAAGUUUGCUUGAUAUAUUUUAAGGAUUGGUCGUCAACUUCUUCUUUUACUUGUUUUGGGGUGGACUCAUUCUGUUAAUCACAAGUGGUAUGGCAUCUAAUAGCAAUUCAAUGGAGCCUGAGAUGACUGCUGCAUAUGAUUCGUUCUCCAUAGGUGAGGACGAGGAGGAUGGCCUUGUCUUCCAGAGUGAUGAUAUGGCAACGGGGCAGGAAGGUUUGAAUGAUGUUAGAUUCUGUUUGGUGGGGCGGUUUUUAACGGAUAAAGUGAUUAAUUUCCCAGCUAUGAAGAAUACAAUGGCAGCAUUAUGGCGGCCAGGAAAGGGCGUAUGCAUUAAAGAUUUAUCAUCCACCCUUUUCUUGUUUCAAUUUUUUCAUGAGAUUGAUCUGCAACUUGUCAUUGAUUCGGGCCCAUGGACAUUCGAUCAACAUAUUCUAAUUCUACAGAGAUUGGGGGAGCAUGAUCAGCCACAUAGGGUCCCUUUAUAUCAUACUUUCUUUUGGAUUCAAGUGUAUAACUUACCCAUUGGAUUCCAAUCGGAGAAGGUGUUGACAAACAUUGGUAACUAUAUUGGUGAGUUCCAAGCUUCGGAUCCUAACAAUCUCAUGGGAGUAAGAGUCUCAAUAGAUGUCCGGAAGCCUUUGAAGAAAAGAUUGCGUCUGAAGAAGGAGGGGGGGGGGAGUGGUUUUGGGUUGAUUUUAAAUAUGAAAGGUUGAAUGUUUUCUGUUUCAUCUGUGGGCUGCUUGGGCACACCGAAAAACUAUGUCCGAAGCUGUAUGAAUGUGUGGCUACUGAUAUGGUUAGGCUGUAUGGACCAGAGAUGAAUGCUCCAACUCGUCGGAAUGCAAUGUCUUCCGGUGAUCGGUGGCUACGUUCAGUACCUCCGGACGAAGGUGGGUUCAUGUUUGGUAAGUCCACGGAAUUCGUAAGUGGUGCAGAGAUUAAGGAUAUGAAUGCCACAAAAUUGGGAGUUACCACUAAUAGGAAGAUGCCUCACAGUUUAGGAAGGGAUGGGUAUGAGAAUAUGGAAAUCAUGGAGAUAUCAAAGGGAUUGGCAGUUGUCAAAGCACGUGAGAGUCAAAGGAAUGAUAAGGGGAAAGGGGUGGAUUGGCUUGCUAAUGGGAUGGAUCUUGUUCACACGGCUGAUAGCUGUAGAGAGAAAGGAAUCGUUCUAAAGGAAGCUAAACGGAGACGGGCCGAGAUUGAUUUGGAUGGGCUUGGGCAAUCAGAGGAAGAUGAGCAAUCUAUGGUCAUGGAUCCAAAAAACGGACUAGCGGUGGGACUUGGUUUUCAGGCCCACCGAGACCAAUGAGUACCUUGAGCUGGAACUGCCGUGGUUUGGGCCAGCCACGGACAGUUCGAAUGUUAACAGAACUGGUUCGUAGGAAAAAACCUUCUUUUAUAUUCCUUAUAGAAACGUUAUGUAGUAAAAGUAAACUAGAAAGUAUUAAAAGACAGUUGGGCUAUGACGGGCUUUUUGUUGUGGACCGAGUGGGCCGAAGUGGAGGACUUGCGCUUCUUUGGCAGGCAACUAGUUCUGUGAAGCUUCUGAAGUAUGCUACCAAUUUUAUAGAUGCUGAAAUUGAAGAUCAGGAGGUAGGAAAGUGGAGGCUGACUGGCUUUUAUGGCUAUCCUGAGACUAGCAGGAGGCGGGAAUCGUGGGACUUGCUCCGCUUACUUUCUACUUCAUCCUCUCUUCCUUGGCUAUGCAUAGGGGAUUUUAAUGAUCUUUUGGCGGCAAAUGAGAAGAGGGGCAAAAUUGUUCAUCAUAAUUGGAAGUUAGUGGGCUUUCAAAAAGCUAUUGCAGAUUGCAAUCUGCUUGAUCUUGGUGUCGAGGGAUAUCAGUAUACUUGGGAGAGGGCUAGGGGAACUGAUCGGUGGGUUGAGGAAAGACUUGACAGGGCCUUUGCUUCUGAGGCGUGGCUGCAGCGUUUCACCAGAGCAAAGGUAUAUAGUUUAGAAUCUUCUUGUUCUGAUCACCUCCCUAUAUUUUUGGAUCCUAGCCCAGCUCAGUAUGUUACGAGGAAUAGGCGUUUUCGGUUUGAAAAUAUAUGGAUGCGUGAGGCGGACUGCAGUGAGGUUAUUCGGGAAAGUUGGUAUUCUCACCCAAGGAAUUCUAUCCAACGUAAAAUUUUGGCUUGUGGGUCUGCUUUAACGGAGUGGGGGGGUCAUUUAGGCCGAAACUUUCGUAAGCGUAUUAUGGACUGCAAGAACCGAAUGACUUCUUUAAGAGGGCGUCGUGAUAGAAAAGGUGUGACUGAGUUUACGGAGGCUCGAAAUCGUUAUAAUGAGUUGCUGCAUAGUCAUGAGGUGUUCUGGAAACAGCGGGCAAAAUCGCUUUGGCUAAAAGAAGGAGAUAAGAACACUCGUUACUUUCAUGCUUCGGCUUCAGCACGGAAAAGGCAAAAUUCCUUGGGGAAUCUUCGUAAUGAUCAAGGAGAAUGGUGCGCCAAUUCUGUUGAGGUGGAUGCAUUGAUAGUUGAUUACUUUACGAGCUUGUUUACAGCUGGAGGAGUCCAAACUGCCGAAGUUAUUCAGUGUGUGGAUACUAAAGUUACAAGUGAACAUAAUUCAAUGUUGUUAGCUCCAUUUUCUGCCAUUGAAGUGAAAUAAGCAGUAUUUGGUAUGCACCCGGAUAAGUCUCCAGGUCCUGAUGGGAUGAACCCGGCCUUCUACCAAAAGUUCUGGCAUAUCGUGGGUGAGGAUGUGGUUAUGGCUUGCCUCAAUCUUCUUCAGGAUGCUUCCUUUCCGGUAGGCUUGAAUGAUACUUCCAUUGUUUUAAUUCCGAAUAAGCAAAGGCCUGAAUUUUUAUCAGAUAUGCGACCUAUUGCAUUAUGCAAUGUUCUUUAUAAGAUAAUUUCUAAAAUGUUAGCUAACCGUAUGAAAUUAGUGCUUGAGUUGGCUAUUUCAGAUUCCCAAAGCGCCUUUGUGCCGGGACGAGCUAUCACUGAUAACAUAAUCAUAUCGGCUGAGAUUAUGCACUUCUUGAAGCGAAAACGGCAAGGAAAAAAUGGGGUAGCUGCAUUGAAAAUUGAUAUGUCUAAGGCGUAUGAUAGGAUCGAGUGGAAUUUUCUUCAAGAUAUGAUGCUCAAGAUGGGGUUUGCUGCCAAGUGGGUGGAAUUAAUGAUGCUCUGCGUUUCUACUGUCCGAUACCGCGUGCUCCGUGAGGGUAAGGAGAUUGGUCCGAUUGUUCCCUGCAGAGGCCUUCGCCAAGGGGAUCCUUUAUCCCCGUACUUAUUUAUUAUAUGUGCAGAGGGGUUAAGUUCAUUGAUUCGCAGGCAAGAGAGUAAUGGAUUGCUUCACGGAGUUAGAAUUGCGAGAGGAGCUCCAACAGUGUCUCAUUUGUUUUUUGCGGAUGAUAGUUUCCUGUUCUUUCGGGCAAACAACAAUGAAGCUUACUUAAUCAAGCACUUGCUGGCCAUAUAUGGACGAGCCUCUGGCCAAGUUGUUAACUUCAGUAAAUCUGCAAUCUCAUUUAGUGCUAAUGUAGUUGAAAGCGUAACUCGGGAGGUCUGUGCUAUUCUUGCGGUUAAUUCCACUGCUAAUCACGGGACUUAUCUUGGACUGCCAUCAGCCAUUGGUAGGAAAAAGAAAGAAGUGUUCCAAUAUAUUAGAGACAAGUUAUGGCAAAGACUUCAAGGUUGGGGGUCGCGGAUGCUUUCUCGGGCUGGAAAGGAGAUUUUGUUAAAAACAGUGGCCCUUGCUAUGCCUAAUUAUGUUAUGAGUAUUUAUUUGCUGCCCAAAGAGCUAUGUAGAGAGCUAGAAGUGUUGAUGAAUUCUUUCUGGUGGCGUAAUAAUCACAGUGGUGGGACAGGAAUUAAUUGGGUUAAGUGGAAAUACUUGUGCAAACCAAAGGGGUGUGGUGGACUUGGGUUCAAGCAAUUUUAUUUAUUUAACAUUGCGAUGUUAGGAAGGCAGAUGUGGAAGUUAUUAACCUGCCCUGAUUCUCUAAUGGCGAGAAUUCUUAAAGCUCGGUACUAUCCGCGAACUUCUGUAGUUCGAGCUUCGUUGGGGCAUAAUCCCAGCUAUGUAUGGCGUUCCAUUCUGGCUGCAAAGGAAGUGGUGGUCCAAGGGAGUAGAGUGCAGGUUGGCAGUGGUCGUUCGAUAUCCAUUGGUAAAGAUCCUUGGCUUCCAGACCUCCAAGAUGGGUGUGUUUCUACAAAUCUUAAUGAGGAGCUAGCUACAGCUCCUGUCAGCAGCUUAAUGAUGCCUCACCAACGAGCUUGGGACUAUAAUGCUGUUUCGGACAUCUUCAAUUCAAGAGAUAAGGAGUUGAUUCUGAAGAUUCCUCUUAGUUCCCGCCGCGAAGAUGAUGUGUGGUAUUGGAUGGCGGAUUCCCGGGGAUGUUAUUCAGUUCGCAGCUGCUAUAAGGUUUUAAAUCCUAUCACUCCCGGUUCCUUAGCGGAUGUGUGGAGGAAAUUGUGGAACUCGAAAGUGCCGAACAAGGUUAAGAAUUUUAUUUGGAGAGCUGCACACAACGUGUUGCCUACAGCACUCAAUUUAAUUUCCAAAAGGGUGGAUGUUCCAGCUAUGUGUUCUGUAUGCAAUGCCUACGAAGAAACAGUUUUACACUCCUUGGUUGCCUGCAGUUUUGCUAAGUCUUGUUGGACUUCUUCAUCGGUGGGUUUUGUUGGCUAUUGCUCUAAUUUUUUGGACUGGCUCGCUCACGUUUUUACAAGGUGCAGUAAAGAUGAGUGUAAUAUUGCUAUGAUGAUUUGUUGGCGGAUUUGGGUAAAUCGAAACAACAAAGUUUGGAACAACACUACCAGCUCAGUUUGUCAAAUUCUCAACUCUGCUGGACAGUUUCUCUAUCAGUGGCAAGCGGCAAAACAGCAAGUAUUUGAUGUUAAUGAUGAUACUCACAGAUUGGUUCAUGGGGCAUUGUGUUGGGAGCAACCUAAGUUUGGGUGGGUAAAGUGCAAUGUGAAUGCAGCUGUGUUUGAGUCUCAAGGGAAGAUUGGGAUCGGUUGUGUGAUUCGUAAUUCACAAGGAGGUUUUGUGGCAGCAAGGUGUGUGAGUGUGGCAGGAAUUUUUGGAGCAAGGGAGGCUGAAGCUCUUGGCAUAAGAGAGGCUCUUAGUUGGAUGAAAGAACUGCAGAUUCCAUGUGUUAUCAUAGAGAUGGACUGCCUACAAGUGUUCCGAGCUUUGGUUGAACAGUUUUCAAGUCCAAAUGGGUUUGGUUUGAUUAUUGAAGACUGUCAAGCUUUAGUUAAGUUUAUCGGAGAAGUGCAAUUCUCCUUUGUGCGUCGAUCUGCGAAUCUUGCUGCUCACUCCGUUGCGAGGGCAACAGGUUCUUUGUCAGGUCCCCAGGAGUGGAAUGUUGUUCCACCUCUGUGGUUGUUAAACAGUUUGUAAGUUUUGCUUAAUGAAAUUUCUUCCUUUCAAAAAAAAAAAUAAAAAUGAAUAAUCCUUUAACGAAGGUUAUAAUCAAUUGCAGGUUUCUAGUUUGGCUGCUUAGUUUUAGGACUACGAAUAUUACAAUAUCAUAAUUAAAGGAAAGAAUAUAUGCGGUAGUCUUUGCCUGAUCUACUUUCUUCUUCUUAAUAAACCACGUAAAAGGAAAGAAUAUUGUAUACGCAGCACACUAUAAUACUCUAAUUACCAAUUCUUUAUCUUAUAAUAUAAGUUCAUAGUGAUUAAUUUGUCCUUCUUCAGCAAAAAACAAAUCACAUUUCAGCACAUCUACAAGAGCCCUCAUUUCUCUUUGCUCCAGCCAAUUGAUAGCAGAAUCAUCACAGACACCUUGAGCUCCGUCAAUCAUCAUAGACAAUUGGUGACUAGUGGGAGCAUUUCAAGGAAGGUACGACGAGUACAAACUGAUAGAUUUGUUUAUAUGAUUCGGCUGUAGUUUUUAUAUAUGGUUAAAUUAUGACAAUAAUCAAGAGAUAAUCAUGUACCUCAUUAGUUUCAUAAAUGUACAUACUAAUUUAUUCCCCUGCUUGCCAGAAUCAAACAUGUAGAAUAAGAUAAAUUUUAAGAUUUAAAAUUUUCAAUUCAUUAAAAAUCUAGUGGGAUAUUAAUCGGUAAAACCACUUAGGGGUAGUACAAGAGGUUUGUGGUGCUAACCAAUUUAUGUGAGUGGAGAAAGAAUUAGGCUUUUUUAAUAAAAAUUAAUAAUCAUAUUAAUAAAAUGACAUAAAUUUCAAGAUUUAAAACUUUAGACAUCAUUAGAAGUAAGAGGGGGAUCGUAAAAACUUUGAAUGUAACUUAUCGGUAGUGGAAUGGAUUUUUUUUUUUUUUUUUUGGUUGAAGCUAUUUACACACCUUUGAACACAUGUUAGGGUGAGGGUAUUUCAGUAUUUUACCCACAUCUCAAUAAAAUAUUUUGAGGUGAUGCUACCACUAAACAACUCAUUAAAGCCAUUUACUUAAUAAACACACUUCUAAAUUUUAAAAUGCACAAUUUUAUUUUACAAACCCAUUAAUACCUAAAAUACCCUUAUUAAGUUAAAUUAUCACAAUUUCUCUUAUCAUUUUCUUUUCCCAUCAUUUCUCCGUUUCUUCACCCUUUUCUUCUUCAUUUUUGGAGCUUUACCCAUAGCUUUUUUAUUCCAAAUUCUCAAACUUUUUAUUUUAUUUUUUAAUAGCUAUUUUUCCCGUUGAUAUUUCAUGUGUUUAUAUGAUUCAGCUAUAGUUUUAACUUUUAUAUAUGGUCAAGUUAUAACAGUAAUCAAGAGAUAAUCAUGUUCAUCAUAAGUUGCAUAAAUAUACAUACUAAUUUAUUCCUCUACUUGCCAGAACCAUACAUAUAAAAUUAGAUACAUUUUAAGGUUUAAUCUUAGGGUUGGCAAUAAGCUCCGGAUCCGCAACAAUCCAGAAGAUCCAGAUCUGGAAAAAUCCGGAUCCGCAUGCUAAAAAAUGUGAAUCCAGAUCUUAAAAAUCACAAUCCGUGCAGAUCCGGAUGUAAGUGCAUCCAAAAAACCGAAUAUCUGGAUCCACAAUUUUUUAUAAUUAAAUUAUUUAUUUAAUUAAAUUUCAAUUGAAAAAUAGAUAAAUUAAAUUAUUUAUUUAAAUGUAUAAGCAUAAUUAACUCUCUAAUCUUCAUUAACUUUAAAAAAUAUGUUAAUAAACUAAUAAUAAUAAUAAUUAGAGAAUAUUGUAAUAAAUCGGUUUACCUUACAUUUUUUUUUAUGUUUGAUUUAUAUUGUGAAAUUAUUGUUUGUGAAUUUAUGGUGUUGUUGUAUGUUAUUUAUGUUUAGGGUUGGCAAUGGGAUGGGAUGGGACGGGAUUUGUCAAUCCCAGUCCUGUCCCGUAUAUUGAAUUGGGACUAAAAAAAGUCUCAUUCCCGUCCCUUUAUUUUUUUUUGGGACAAAAAUUUAUCCCAAUCCUGUCCCAUUAAAUAUCUCGUCCCAUCCCAUUAUCCCGAAUAGUCCCGAAUGUAAAUAAAUAAAUUUUAAUUUUUUCUUUUACGGAUUGUCAUAAAUCAAUAUAUAGCAAAUAAAGAAACAAAAAAUUCAAAGUUCCGAAGCUAAUCCAAAUCAAUCUAAGUUCCAAAGUUCAAGCAAAAGUUAAAAAUUAACAUAAUCUUCCAAAAGUUGACUUCAAUUCCAGUUCCCACUUCAUUAGACAAAAAAACUUCAUACUCUAACCACACUUUCAAGACCGCACUUUCAAAUUUCUGUAUAAACCUACAAGAAUUUAAUAAAGAGAGGUUAGAGUAAGACUAAUAUUUUGAUAAUUACAUAAUAAUUAAUCAUUAACGUUCAAAAUUAUUAAUAAAAUCGGUUACCUCUUCAAUCUCUGCAUCAACUUUUUCUUCAUCUGCAAAUGUAGGAUUUUCACUAGAAGUUGUAUGCCCAUUGUCUUAGAAAACAAAAAAAAAAAUUAAAAACUAGAAAAGAAAAUAAAAAAGUUUGAAGAUUUAAAAUAUGCAUAAAUUACAAUAAAAUAAAUUACCUCUUGUGUAAGCAUUCAACCAACUUUGAGUGCACAUCAAUGCCUCCACUAUUUGAGAGUGUAGUCUAUUACAAUGUGGGCUAACUACUCUACCACCUGUGCUAAAAGCUGACUCGGAAGCAACUAUUGAUACUGGGAUUGCUAGUGUAUCCCUAGCAAUAGUAGAUAACAAAGGAUAUUGUAUUGCAUUUAUUUUCCACCACCCCAAAAUAUCAAAAUUUUUGUCCUUGGUAAUCAACACAUAUUCACCUAAAUAUGACUCAAGCUCAGUCUUACGGUUCUCAACCAUAUUGGCUUUCAAAAAAUCAUCAUACCUACUUGAAAGUUGUUCCUCAACAUGGGACAUAACGACUGAGGACUCUCCUAUACUAGAACUAAAAGCACCCGCGCUAGGACCGCUUACAGAUAAUUUGGCCUUAAAUUCAUACUCCUUUAUUAAUUCCUUAAAAAGCAUCUGAACUCUCUCAAUAUGAAUAUUUGAUUCAUCACCAUAUAACAAUGGAAAGUAGAACUCAAUCAAUUUCAUUUUAUAUCUAGGAUCCAACACUGUUGCCACGGUUAAUACCCCAUUAACAUCUUUCCAAUAUUUUUCAAAUUUGCCAAUCAUGUUAAUUGCCAUUUGUCUAACUUCAUCAUGCUCACAUGUAAGCCAACUACCUAAUGAUAAUCUAAUCUCACAAAUAUGAAUGAAAAACAAAUUGGAUGUGGGGUACUUAGUUCCAGAAAAUACCUCAGUCACAUUAUAAAACGAUUUCAAAUUAUUUGACAAUAUACGAGCUAACUCCCAUUCACUUUCACUUGGCAAACACCUAUAUUGUGCCUCCAAUUGAUGCAAUCUAUAAAAGACAUUUUUAUACUCCAGGGCAACAGAAAUUAUGAGAUAAGUAGAGUUCCAUCUAGUGAUGCAAUCAAGAACUAACUCCUUACUACAUGGAAUAUUCAACCUACGAGAAAUCUCUUUAAAUUUUUCCCUUCUUUGAGGGGUAACUGUCCAAAAUGCAACACUAGCACGAAUUUUAGCAACACCCUCACUAAUUACACUUAACCCCUCUUUGACAAUCAAGUUUAAAAUGUGAGCAGUACAUCGUAUAUGAAACAACUUGCCACCCAUAAGUAAAUCAUUUUUAUCAAGUUUAUCUAGUAGAAGUUGAAUCAUUCGAUCAUUAGUAGUGCAAUUAUCAACAGUUAAUGCAGAUAACUUACGCUCAAGAUUAAGAUCCAUUAAACAUCUCAAUAGUACAUCACAAAGUACUUGAGAAGUAUGUCGAGCUUGCACAUGAAUAAACCUACAUAGAAAAAAUACAAUUAAUUACAAACAUAUUCAAUAAAUAAAUAUAAUGCACUAAAUAUUUCAAUGUUAAUUAGAAUUAAACAUAGUACCUCAAAAUUUGACUCCGUAAGGUCCAAGAAUCAUCAAUAAAGUGUGCUGUAAUAGCCAUGUACCCUUUUGUUUGGGAGCCACAAGUCCACAUGUCGGUUGUGAUUGCAACUUUACUACUGUUACUCUCUAUUAAACUCACAACCUUAGCCUUUUCCAUCUAAUAUAGCUCCAUAAUAUCACUUUUCAUAGUAUUGCGAGAUAUGUUUUUCCACAUUGGGUUUAAAGAAGACAACACUUUUCUAAACCAUUCAUGCUCAACGCAACUUAAUGGGUACUCAUGCAUAAUGAUCAUACGUGCAAUCAAUCCCCUAGUGACAUCAGGAUCAAAAGAAUAAGUCUCUACCUUCACAUUUCCCUGAUCAUCCUCAAUUGUUUUUAACUUCUUUGAAUAAUGUGUUAUCUCAAUUUGAUUACGCCGAGGGCAUAUUUUCAUGUGAUCGUUCAAGUGUCUUGUUCCAUCUCUAGGACCUCCAACAUAGUCUUUAUUGCAGUGCUUACAAAAGGCUCUUAUUUUUCCAUUUUUUAUCUUUCUUUCAAAAUGUUUCUAGACCACUGAUCUUAAUCUUGAUGUUAAAUCAUUGUCUUUGGCAUUUUCUUCAACAACAUGCACAUCAUCAUUAUCUAAACUUUCAUUGUCCACUACUGGAGGAGAAGCCAUCCUUUAAAGCAAAAAGAAAAAAACAAUCCACAACUCAAAUAAAUGAAUUAAAUAUAAAUUAACCUUUUAAAAACAUCAAACCAUAUAAAACAAAAGUAAUAAUAAUAUGGGACCACAAGAACCUUUAUUUUAAAACUCAAUACUACUUAAACAGAUAUAAUAAUCAUUAUAAUAUAACAACUUCAACUAGAUUGCCGUAUAUAAUAUAAUAAUAUUUAACAAAUAUCAAUUAUAUGGAAAGAGCACAAAACUGUAAACAAUAAAAACAAAAAAAGCCAAAUUAUGAAUGUUAACUUACGGUGUGGAGGCUGAAAAGUGAGAAUUUUGUGGAUGAAUUGCUAGCAGAGACGUAGUGGGCAAGUCGUGGGUGGCUGCUUGGGAACUUUUGUGGCGGAGUAAAAUUUUUUGUGGUGAGGGCAAGGGGCGUUGGGCGGUCAACACUUAGGGUGCAGUGUUAAUUUAGGAAAUUGGUUGAGUUUUGAAGGGUAAUUAUUGCUAUAAAUUAUUAAUUUUAUUUGUGACUUUUUCACUUUUUAUUUUAAAUUAUAAUGUUAACGGGAUAUACAGGACAGGACGGGAUUUUAUAAUUGGUUCUCCUCCCGUCCCAUAAAUAAAAGCGGGAUUUAUUUUGAUCCUUAUCCCAUCCCAUUUUAAUUUGGGAUGAAAAAAUAUGUCCCAAUCCCAUCCUAAACGGGACGGGAUCCCGCAGGAUCCCGUCCCAACGGGAAAAAUUGUCAUCCCUAUUUAUGUUGAAUUGAAGUUAAAUUGUUGAUUCUUAAAUUAUAAUUGAAUUUUAUUUAAUAUUAUUAUGUAAAUUAUUAAAUUUAAAAUUAUAUUUAAAUUUAUUAUUAUGCGGAUCCGAAUAUCCAGAAUAUCCGUCCGCAAUCCGUGCAGAUGUUAUCCGCAUCCGGAUCCGUAUUUUUUUUUGCGGAUCCGGAUGUCAAAAGUUUAAUCCGGAUUUUGAUGCACUAACAUCCGAAUCCAGAUCCAAAUUUUGCCAUCCCUAGUUUAAAACUUUGCAAUUCGUUAAAAAUCUUGCGGGAUAUUAACCGGUAAAACCACUUAGGGAUAGUACAAGAGGUUUAUGAUUUCUCAACCCAUUUAUGUGGGUGGAGAGAGAAUCAAGUGUUUUUUUAAAUAAAGAAUAAUUAAUAAUUAAUAAUCAAAUUAAUAAAAAUAAAUAAAUUGUAAGGGGGAUCGUAAAAGUUUUGUAUAUAACAUAUCGGUAGUGGAAAGAAAUUUUUUUAGAGAGGCUAUUUGGCUUGGAACAUAUAUUACAAUACUCUCUUCAUCCACUUCUCAAUAAAAUAUUUUAUUACAAAAUUUUCCUUAAUUAAAUUAUUGUUUUAGCCAUAUAUUAUGUUCGUUUAUCUCCCUAAAGUUUUUAUUCUUUCACCCUUUUUUCUCUUUUCCUUUGUGUCUCCCCAAUUUUUUUCCAGUCCUAUGGGGUUCUUAUUAAAGCUUCUAUUGAGUAAAAUCUUUAUUAAAAUUGCUUAUAAAAAAAAAAGAAAAAAAGAAUGGGUCUCUUUUAAAAUUUGUCUUUCCUUCCUUUACCCUUGAGUUACUAUUAGAUGUAUAAGCUCAAGAUGAGACUAGUAAUUGGAUUUCCAUUAAAAGUUUUAAUUUCAAAAAAUCAAAAGAUCACCAUACAAAUAUCAAAAGAUCACUAACUUAAUUAUACUGGUAAUAAUUAAGAUAAGUAAAAGACCUACUAUUUCUGUUUGAUGUUAUUAUGAUAAAGAAAAAAAAAAAAGAAAUAGCAAGUUGCUGCAGUUGCAACAAUUGAGGAUAUGCUAAUAAAAGUGUUACAGAGAUAGAUUUAAUUGAUAAAAAUAAGAUUUUAAUAAAAAGUAUUGAGAGAAACAAUUAAUAAAAACUAAUGAUAUUUAUUAAGGGUAUAUUAUGAAUAUUUGUGGCCUUUUUUGAGGUAACUAAAUAAAUUUUAAGUUCUGAUAAUGUGUUUAUUACAUAAGUGGAUUUAUUCAGUAUUCUAGUGGAUUUAAAGAGUUUCAACUCUCAUAUUAUAAUAAAUUUUUAUAUUGCUACAAUUGCCCUAAUAUAGUGGACAAUAUUAUAUUGUACACAUAAGAAUACUCUAGCACGGUAGCACCCAAUUAAAAUUUUUAGUAAAACAUAUAAGACCUCUAAAUGUAAAGAGAAUUCCGUCAAGGUAUUGCAGUAGUAUUUAAUGCUCUUGGCUAGUGUAAACUAUUGUGCCACAUGUAGUAUUUCGAUCCUGACAAGUGCAUUACAAAUAAUGACUCUUAUUUCAGGUCUUUUAGGUACUUUAGAGAUAUAUUAGCUCUGGAGCUAGUAUUAGGUCAUAACGUGCUUCUUUUAAUGAAAGAUGUGGUUCAUUUUUCCCUACACCAAAGCAUUUUCUGUGGAAUAACCGUGUCAAAUGCUCAUUUAUCAAGGGCACGUGUGGUGUUGUCAGUAUGAUAUGCUAACCCACGUGCACUUAUGGAAAAUCAAAUGAGAAAAAUGAAUUAAAAAAUGCAAAAGCUAAUUAAUAAUGUUCGAGUUUGAGAUGAAGAAUAUUUAAUUUUAUGGAUAUAAAGAUAAGAAAGAUUUAAUGAGAACUAUCCUAAUAUUAAAAUACUAUUUAAAAUAAAUUUUAUUUGACGUAAUAGUAUGUCUCAUAAUAAGACUCGUAGUGGUCAGAAUCGUACAUGUAAAAUGAGAUAAAUUUUAAGGUUUAAAACUUUGCAAUUCAUUAAAAAAUCUAGUGCGAUAUUAAUUGGUAAAACCUCUUAGGGGUAGUACAAGAGGUUUAUAAUUCCCUAAUCCAUUUAUGUGGGUGGAGAGGGAAUUAAGAGUUUUUUAAUAAAGAAUUAAUAAAAAUUAAUAAUCAUGUUAAUAACUUAUUGGUAGUAGAAUGGAAUUUUAUUUGGAGAGGCAAUUUGGCUCAGAACAUAUAUUAAAAUGAGGAUAUUUGAACCCGCCACAAUACUCUCUACAUCCACUUUUCAAUAAAAAAUUUAUUACAAAAUUUUCCUUAAUUAAAUUACUAUUUUAGCCAAAUAUUACGUUCAUUUAUCUCCCUAAAGUUUUUAAUUUUUAACCCUUUUUUCUCUUUUCCUGUUUGUCUCCCCAAUUUGUUUCUAGUCCUAUGUGGUUCUUAUAUUUUAAAGCUUCUAUUGGAGUAAAAUCUCUACUAAAAUUGCUUAUCAAAAAAAAAAUCUCUUUUAAAUUUUGCCUUUUCUUUACCCCCAAGUUACUAUUAGAUGUAUAUGUUCACCGUGAAAGUUUAGAUCUCAAACCUUUUCUGUAUCUUAAAUGGAUUGUCGUGGAUAUGCCUAAGAUGAGCAUUUUCUUCCUCUUCACUUCAUCAUCUUUGAUAUAGUAAUUAUAAUUGAUUGAGGAGUGUUAAAACGCAUUGUGAUGAAUGAAUGCACAAGCUAUGUGAUUAAGACUGCAUUUAUCAGCUGGUUGGCGACCGCAAAUAUUAGGCAGGUUAUUCACAAUAGUGCUACUGAAGCUUUAUAUGGAAUAAGGAGACCAAACCUCUAUAUGAUAAGAGUUGUAUGAAUACCAAAUGAAUUGUAAGAGGAUAUGGUUAAUUUAGAUUGCAAUUUAAGAAAGCUUGAGUUCUAAGAGCACAGAAAUGGGAUCAGUCUUGCUCAAGUGUAAACUCCAUCAGUUAGGAAGCUGUCCAUAAAAUGUAAAUAUUUAUGUGAUUGAGAGAAAUUUUGGACUUUUGAUGAAAACAAAAUCCUGUAUGCAUUUGCUUGUCCCCAAGGAGCUGAAAGUUCUCAAAUUGUUUGUAGACGUAAUAGUUCUCCUGAUGUCAUUUGGCUUGCUAAUCUUUUUUUGCUCGAAAAUUUGCCUAUUGUGUGGUCUUGACGGUGGGUGAAAUUGAUUCGUGGUCUCAGAUGAAGACAGCAGCAGAUGUGUGUGUGCUAUAUGACAUCGAGAAAAAGCAAAAGCCUUAAAGAGUUCAUCCACAUUUUCCAUUUCAGAAGAAUCUGUUUGUGGUUCUCCUGCUCGAGUGCCAACUUUUCAGUGUGCAAGCAUAUAUGUUGAGACCGGCAGAUGAAAUCACUAAACUUUUACAGUUGAUCUGAGGCUCCUCUAAAGAAGGAUUUGGAUUUUGGAAUUAAUUUGGGGAAAGGGUUUUUUUCUGGUAUAUGAGUGUAAGCAUUCCUUCAAUCACGUAGCUUUGUGCCAUUAACAUAAUGGCAAUUCCACAAUGGGGAUAAUGAUAAUUUUGUGAUUGGGAACUCUUUACUGGUUUUUCUUUCGCCAUCUGUGUCUAUGAUUAAGGUUGUUUAAAGUGUUAUGGCUUUUAAUCUACAACCAUUGCGAAAUGGACUCACUAGCUGGCAAAUAAUAAAACAUAGUGCUGUCAAAUUUUGUAAGGAUUAUGCAUACACACUCUUUCGUCUUCAAUGCCCUGAAACUGGGUAACUACAUGUAUGAUUUUCAUUCAGAAAAACUGGCGAGAACUAAUGACUUUGCAGAUUAAAAAAUAAGUAGGAUUAUCAGAUUAUGUAGCAUUGUUAUGUAUUGUCUUGUGUAUUUUUUAAGGUUAAAGUUGGUUUGGAAAUUAAUUAAAAGACGAUAUUCAUUCUAUCACCGGACGAGUUUUUAACACGAGGAGAAGGUUCCUUUUGUAAUUUACUAAUUUAUACAACCUUUAAUAUUAAAACAAAAUUUUAUGUAUUAAGGACGAUGAUUCUUGCUCACUUAGUAAGAUAUGUACAUAACAUAGGUUUGUUAAGCAAGGAAUCAAUUAUGUAUUUCUUGUAUCUGAAAAAAUGAAUCAUCCUUUAACGAGGGUUAUCAUCAAUUGCAGGUUUCUAGUUUGGUUGCUUGGUUUGAGGACUAUGAAUAUUACAUUGUCAUAACUAAAGGAAAGAAUAUUGUAUACACAGCACACUAUAAUUACCAAUUCUUUAUCUUAUAAUAUAAGUUCAUAGUGAUUAAUUUGUCCGUCUUCAGCCAAAAAAAAAAAAAAGUCCCAUUUCAGCACAAAUACAAGAGCUCUCAUUUUUCUUUGCUCCAGCCAUUUUAUAGCAGUGUCAUCACAGACACCUCAAGCUCUGCCGAAUCAUCAUAGACAAUUCGUGAUUGGUGGGAGCAUUACAAGAAAGGUACGACUACUUCAAACUGAUAGAUUUGUUUAUAUGAUUUAGCUAUAGUUUUAACUUUUAACAAUAAACAAGAGACAAUCAUGUACAUCGUUAGUUACAUAAAUGUAGAUACUAAUUUAUUCCUGUACUUGCCAGAUCCAUACAUAUAAAAAUGAGAUAAAUUUUAAGGUUUAAAAAAUUUCAAUUCAUCAAAAAUCUAGUGCUAUAUUAAGCGGUAAAAUCACUUAGGGUUAGUACAAGAGGUUUAUGAUUCCCCGACCCGUUUAUAUGUAUGGGUGGAGAAGGUAUUAGGCAAUAAAGAAUUAGUAAAAAUUAACAAACAUAUUAUAAAAGGAAAUAAAUUUCAAGAGGGAACGUAAAAGAUUGUAUGUAACUUAUCGUUAGUGGAAUGGAAUUUUUUUGGAGAGGCUAUAUUUGGCUUGGAACAUAUAUUAGAACAAGGUUAUUUGAACCCACCGCACUCUCCAAAAUCCACUUCUCAAUAAAAAAUUUCAUUAGAAAUUUUUUCUUAAUUAAAUUACUAUUUUAACCAAAUAUUAUGUUAAUUUAUCUCCCUAAAACUUUUAUUUUUUUCACCCUUUUUUCUCUUUUCCUCUCCAUCUCCCCAAUUUUUUUUCUAGUCCUGUGUGGUUCUUAUACUUUAAGGCUUCUAUUGGAGUAAAAUCUCUAUUCAAAUUGCUUAUCCAAAAAAAAAAAAAUCUUUUAAAAUUUGCCUUUCCUUUACCCUCGAGUCACUAUUAGAUGUAUAUGCUCGUGAUGAAACUUUAGUAAUUGGAUUUCUAUUAAAUAUUUUAAUUUAAAAAAAUGAGAAGAUCACUAUAAAAAUAUCAAAAGAUCACCAACUUAAUUAUAGCAAUAAUUAAGGGAGUUAAAAAACUUACUAUUUCUGUUUGAAGUUAUUAUUAUAAAGAAAGAAAGGAAAAAAAAAGUCGCUGCAAUUGCAUCAAUUGAGGACAUGUUAUGAAAAGUAUCAUAGAAAGUAGUGAGAGAAACAACUAAUGAAAAUUAAUGAUACUUAUUGAGGGUAUAUUGGGAAUAUUUGUGGGUUUUUUGAAUGAAAAAAUAAAAUUUUAAGUUGUGAUAAUGUGUUUAUUAUAUAAAUGGGUUUAUUCAGCAUUACAAUGGGUUUAAAUGGCUUUAUCCUUCAUAUUAUAAUAAAUUUUUAUAUUACUAUAAUAGCCGUAAUAUAGAGGACAAUGUAAUGAAAAUAUUGUUACUGUUAUACUUAUUAAAGAAACAAUAUUAUCUUGUACAAACAAGAACACUCCAGUGCUGUAAUAUAAUCUAAUGCUUUUUGGUAGUGUAAACUAUGUGUGCCACGUGUAGUAUUUCAAUCUUCACAAGUGGCAUUGUAAAUAGUGGCUCUUAUUUCAGUUCCUCAUAGGCACUCUAGAGACACGUUAGCUUCGAAGCUAGUAUUUGGUCAUCACGUGCUUCUUUUAAUGAAACAUGUGGUUCAUUUUAUCCUUAUACGAGAGCAUUUUGUGCGGAAUAACCAUGUCAAAUGCUCAUUUAUCAAGGACACGUGUCGUGUUCUCAGAACAUAGUAAAAAUAUGAUACGCUAACCCAUGUACGUUUAUGGAAAAUCAAAUGAAAACAAAGAACUAAAAAAAACGUACAAAGGCUAAUUAAUAAUGUUUGAGUUUGAGAUGAUUAAUAUUUAAUUUUAUGGUUGUAAAGAUAAGAAUAAAAGUAGGUCUAGUGAGGACUAUCCUCAUAUUAUAACACUAUUUAAAGUAAAUUUUGUUAUAAAAGAUUUUAUUCAAUUAGGUACAGAGACCAUUCAAACUAUAUUUUAGUAUGUCUCAUAAUAGGACUAACAUUGGUCAAAUCAACCUAUUUCGAUAAGAUCCAUCGAAAUUAAUAUUUAAAAGAUUUAUCAUCUCAUUAUACAAUACACAGCUUUGCCAUCUAGUAGAGAAUGAUUGGUUGGCACACCAUAGUUUACAUAAAUAUUUCUAAUAUUUGAAUCAUUUGUUAGGAAAUUUUAACCCUACCAAGAUCUUGUAAGUAAACAUAUCAAAUAAAUAGUAAAUAGAUAAUAUAUAGAGAAUAAAACCAAUCAUACAACACAAUAAUUUACCGGAGAAAAAUUCCUAUACUGGAGAAAAACCGCGGCCGCCAAAGAUGACGAAAGAAAAACCCACUAUGUAAAGAUCAUUACAAUCAUUCUAGUAUUUUCCAAAUAUACAAAACCCCAAUAACAAAUAAUCUCUCAUUCUAGAAACUGUCUACUUGUAUAGAACUGAUCAUUAUGUUAUGCAAACAAGUGAAUCUAACCUUCUUAUAUAUUGUGAUUGUUUCAUAUAAGAGAAGUAUUUAUUUCCUUAUAUAAGUUGUAUUCCUCCUUUAAUAAGUUCUUUGGAAUUACUUAUUCCUUAAACACGAACCCCCCAAACAAAAAAAAUUACUAAAUAAAAAAAUUCUAGAAAAUAUUCUAAUUUAGGAUUUACAAAUCCUCAUUGAAAAAGGAGAUAUGUUUCUUAAAAAUCUCCACUUUGGCGAGUUUUUUAAUUAAACGACAACAUAUGAUCCGCCAUACAUCUAUGCAACCAUGUCGUCUCCACCUUCUUUAGUCUUACCAAAACCACACUGACAUUGGACUAAUGAGAAUCACUCCACCAUGAGUAAAAUCUUGUCCUCUAUCCAGCAACCAUAAUUUUCUACAUCGAGAAUCAUCAUACUUCACAUUAUCUAGAGUACACAUGUUUGGCAUAUGUCGAUCACAUUUAUGAAAUUACCCACUCUCAUGUUUGGCUUCUUUGAGAGUCCUCAACGAUCAACAUAAAAAGUCCACCACAUACCUUGCAUAAAUACUAAACUACAUGUUGUGUGCACAUCUUGUGGACCCAUUAACAAUAACACAUCCUCUUCCACGACACACCAAUAGAUAACAUAAUUAGUAUCUCCUUCUAUUAAUUUACAACUACUUUCCAAAUUUUAUAUAUUCUAACAAUCUCUUUUAAGAUAUUUUGAUUACCUACACUCCUCUAGGGGUUUCUACUAGUGGAAUAGGCCUGACAUUGCUCUUUGCUUUACUUGUAUAGACAGAUUGAACAAUAUGUUAUUGACUUGAUCUUCCCAAAAGGCAAAAUUAAUUAUUCCGUCAAACGUUUCUGUUUCUAUCUUCAUAGGUUUUGAAAACCUCCUUGUUGACGUAUUUGCUCUACAUUGCAGCCUUAACUCUAUUAUCACCUGCUAAGAAAUAAUUAAUCUCACCUAAGAUUCGCAAGAAAAAAUAUGAAAUAAAUAGUAAAUAGAAAAUAGGUGGAGAAUAAAGCUAAUAAAAUAAUACAAAAAUUUACAUGAAAAAUUUCUAUAUUGGAGAAAAAUUAUAAUAGCUAAGGACGAUAAGAGAAAAAUUUAUUAUGUAAAUAUUAUUAUAAUUACUCUAGGGUUUUUCUCACACCUAAAACACCAAAAGCACCUAAUUUUAAUAGAACUACUUUUCUCUCACACUGAAAACUAUUUACUUACAAAUAACUGAUUAUUGAAUUAUGCAAAGAAGUAAACUCAAUCUCCAUAUAUAUAUGUAGUGAUUAUUUCAUAUAGAAGUUGUAUUCCUUUCCUUAUAUGAUUUGUAUUCCUCCUUGAAUAAGUUAAGUUAUAAAGAGAAAAUUACUUAUUUCUUAAAUAUGAAUUAUCUUCAAUAAGAAAACUAAAAAGUGUAGAAAAUUCCUAAUUUAAGACUUAAAAAUCUUCUUUGAAAAAAGAGACAUCUCCCAAUGUCCUCAAAUCCUCCUUACAAUGCCACCAAUCUCUUUUGUGACUAGCCCAAUUGAAACUUUUAAUGGAUGGGCUGUAAUUGCCAAUAUCCAAAUAAAACAAAUUUCCAUAGAUAUAUUGGUAGAUUGAAGGACAACUAACAACACAUGAUUUGAUUAACUUACUUCCAAAAAAAAAGAAAAAAAAAAGAUACAAUGGAUUAACAUAAGACUCUUGUGCCAACUCAUGGAAUUCAUCAAUAAGGCCUUGGCUGAUCCACCUCAUGAUUAGUAGGGUUCAAACCCUUGCUAAAUGAUAAGAAAAAUAUUUGGAUUACUAAUUACUGUUUCUGAAGUCUAUUUAAACUUUAACUUUUAGAAUUUUGAACGUCUACACUUUAAUUAAAACAAUACAAGCCCACCCGUUUGUAUUUAAAAUUUUGUUUGAAUUUAUUCACAAGCAACAAGAAUAGUAUAAAUGGAAAAAAAAAAGUACCAUCAAAUAAUAUUCCAUGACUUUGUUUCUUCAAUUUCAGGAGCAAUGGUGGAAUCAUUCUUUCCGAUUGAAAAACUUUUGGAAAAAUUAGGGAGCUCUGCUCAUGAAGAACUUUUAUUGUUCUGCGGUGUCAAAAAUGACUUACAAAAGUUAAAGGAGACGUUAACCACUGUCAAAAGUGUGGUUUUGGAUGCUGAGGAAAAGCAAAUCCAUAAUCACCGGUUAAGCGAUUGGCUGGGAAAGCUUAAGGAUGCUUGUUAUGAUGCAGAAGAUGUGUUGGAUGAAUUUGAGGUGGAAGAUCUACGAAGGCAAGUCAUGAAGCAAAGAAGCAUCGGAAGAAAGUUUCGUAACUUUUUUGGAAGCUCAAAUCCGAUAGCUUUUCGUUUUAGAAUGGGUCAUCAAAUCAAGAAAAUUCGAGAGAGGUUUGAUGAGAUUGCAAAAUUGAGGGGUGAGUUUAAUCCCAUUGAACGACUUGACGAUCAUCGGCGAGUUGUGCACAAAGAAAGGGAACCCACUCACUCGUUUGUGCUUUCAUCAGAUAUUAUUGGAAGAGAUAAAGAUAGAGAAAAGAUUAUUGAACUAUUGAUGCAAACAAGUGGCGGCGAAAGUGAAACUGUGCCUGUGGUUCCUAUUGUGGGACUUGGAGGUUUGGGCAAGACUGCACUUGCAAAAUUGGUGUACAAUGAUCAAAGGGUAGAAGAGCAUUUUGAGUUGAAAAUCUGGAUAUGUGUUUCUGAGGAUUUUGAUGAGAGACAAAUUAUGACAAAGAUUAUCAAGUCGAUAACUGGUCAAAACCAAGGUGACUUGGAUACAGACCAAUUGCAACGAAUCUUGCGAGAUCGUUUGAAUAGUAAGAGAUACUUGCUUGUUAUGGAUGAUGUAUGGAACGAAGAUCCUGAAGCAUGGCGUAAAUUAAAAAGCUUAUUGUUGGGAGGUGCUAACGGAAGCAAAAUUUUGGUAACCACACGUAGCAGGAAGGUUGCUUCAAUCAUGGGCACGAGGGGAGGUACUACUGGCUACAACUUACAAGGUCUACCAUUCGAGGAUUGCUUGUCUUUGUUUAUGAAAUGUGCAUUUAAAGAAGAGCGAGAUAAACAUCCAAACCUCAUAAAAAUCGGGGAAGAAAUUGUGAAAAAAUGUGGGGGAAUUCCUCUGGUAGUCAGAGCACUAGGAAGUCUAUUAUAUUGCUCAACGGAUGAACAUGAUUGGGAAUAUGUGAGGGAUAAUGAGAUAUGGCAGUUAGAGCAAAAGGAAAGUGGCAUUUUACCUGCUCUGAGGUUAAGCUACGAUCAAUUGCCGCCUCACCUGAAACAAUGUAUUGCUUAUUGUUCAAUCUUUCCCAAGGAUUAUCAAUUUUAUGGUGAGUCUUUGGUUCAAUUUUGGAUGGCUCAUGGUCUUCUCCAAUCCCAUAAUAAGAAUAAGGAGUUAGAAGAUAUUGGUAUGCGGUACUUGAAGGAAUUACUGUCAAGAUCUUUCUUCCAAGAUUUGAUUUUUGGGAUUUCAGGAAUGGAGACUCUCUCUUUCAAAAUGCAUGACCUUAUGCAUGAUCUUGCCCUGCUAGUGGCCAAAGAUGAAUUCCUAGUAGUGAACUCUGAUUGUCAAUCUAUUCCCAAAAGAGUCCGCCAUUUGUCAUUUGCUGCUGCUAAUGCAUCAAGGAAUGACUUUUCAAGC